AAAAAGAAAAAAGAAAAAAAAAGAAGUUUCGAUCCCCUCUCCUCUCUCACUUUCCCGUUUGUUCUCUUCACCCCCAUUCCUCCGGGCUCGCCGUCGCCGACGGGACCUCCUCCACCUCCCGCACAUCCUCACCAACAUCUCCCCAAGACUAAGGCGUAAGGAGGAAGCAAGCGCCCACCUCCCGCCGCCUCCACUGCCACCGCUGUAGCAGCAGUAGCGUACGCAGGAGAUUCAGAACUGUGUGUUGAACACGCGCGUGGCAGGGAUGGACGACGGCGACAGCGUCGCCCGGAGCGCAGACAAGGAUGCCCCCCCGGGAGACGACGGGAGCUCCACGCCCCUCCCCGAGACGGUGAGGAUCUCCUCUAUUAUGCAAGCACCGCGUGUUUGUUUCGAAUUGUCCGCUGUUUAGAUUUCAUUCGCGUGAUUGAACGUCUUUAUUGGUGCGGUAUGGUUCGGAGUUGAGCGAUUCGUGCUUGGAAAUGGCACAAUCUCGUGCGGCCGCAGGGUUCCAAGGAGCUGGGUAUGGAGAUAUCUUGUUUAGGACUAUAGGUUCCAUGCUAGAAGCGCGAGUAGACAUGAAUUCGGUAUUUUCUUAGGUCUGAGAUGACAGGAAUGGUCACUAUUGAAUGGUAGGACCUGCAGAGGUAUGAAAAUGUGACAUGAGCAUGCUGUCCGAGAAGUUCCAUUAGUGUUAUGGAUGGCCUUGCAGGUCUUUGUUCUUAACCUACUAUAUUCGUGUUUUUUCACGGCACAAAUGGAGCAAAUAUGCUUCUUUAACAUAGCAGGAAGUAGAUGCGCGAGUUUGAAUAUGCUACUGUGGUUGUUAUGGAACAGUAGGAGCUAAUUAACGCAACAAGCAGUGCCUAACUGAGAUUUCUAAAUUUGGAAAAGGAAAUGUGGGAAUGCAACAGCGUAGGUUGGUCGGUAUAUGCUUGUGCAAGUGUGUACUGUUUAUUUUUACAGAACAAAGUGUGUAUGGUUUCUAGGGUUUUGAACUGGGUUGCAAACUCUGCUUAUGUCUUGGUAAGACAAAACCUUCUUUAGUGCUGAUUCUGUGUUCCUUUUUGAACCUGUGCAUGCCAUUUAUGGUAAACAAUGUUAAAAUAACUACUCUUCAAAUGGAUAUUAACAUCUCCAUAGACCAUAGACUAGUAGUUUUGAUCACAUAUACUCCCUCUGUCCCAAAAUAAGUGUCAUUGAUCUAGUACAAAAUUUGUGCUAAUUUAGUACUAAAUCUGCGACACCUAUUUUGAGACGGAGGGAGUAAUUCUUAGACUGCUUGUUGGUGGCAUUCCAGAAUAAACAUCUGGAUGCCUACAUGCUGCAAAAGCUCAAAAUGUCCUUUGCUUCAUGUUUUAUGCAGUAUUACUACCUAUUUUGGUCAGGGUGUUAUAUAACUAAAUUCAUAGAUGCAUGUGAGCCUGGAUUUUUUCUUGUUGUUAGGAAAUAGGAAAUAUGCAUACACACACACACACACACACACGUGUGCAGGUGGUAAAUAUGUAGGAAACCCCUCAUACUAUGGGAAAAAUAUACAGCCUAUACAUGGAACAUAAUAUAACUCACCCUGUUGUCGUGGGAAAUUGAUCCGCACAGCACCACAAAUUCCUCACUUACGUGGAGGUAAACAGACCAUUUUUAUGCAAAACGGCAAAGAUGAGCCAAACCCUAGGGCUGCUAGGGCUGUGCAGAAGCUACGACCUAGGCGCUGGAAGGAGAAAGCUUAUAGGAGAAAAAAGUAACGUAGAGUUGCGAAAGGAUCAAUGAUUGUAGCUUUUCAGUCGACCAUGUACCCAUAUAUAUUAGGUAUGCUUGGCCUUUGGCAAUUUGGAAUAGGACCCCUGACUAGUCAGGUACCAUUUCCUUGGCAUACAAGCCAAAUUGGUAAUCUUUAAUUAAUUCGGCUAGACCUGUAAAAGCACCAGCCUGAGCCCAAUGCUAGUACACCUUCCUUAUUAGCUCUGUUCUCGCCGAAUAGCUGAUCAUGCAAAAUCUUUUCUAUCUCAAGCAUUCUAAACCAGAUCUCUUUCCUUUUUUCUCUUCAUGCGUGAGCUCCAGCACACAAUUCUGUUGCAUCCAGCCUGCUGCACCUAUCCUAUGUACUUGCAAUCAUGUGGCCAUUCUCAAACAAUGUAUCAACCAAUUAGCUUAUCCACCAAAACUAAAUAAUCCGGCUGACCAUUCAAGCCAGAUCCAAAUUAGACUGUCAACACAUGCCCCCCUGGUUUUGGUGUAAUUUUAUUUGCCAAAAACACCAUGGCAAUAUCUUGAGACGAUUUCAACCACUUCACCGGUCAUAUCAAUUGCUUAGGGCGAUGUCCACAUAACACACCUGCCAAAUUUAGCAUAAGGUGAUAUCUAAAAUCACAUCGGGCAUGUUUUGCUUAGGGCGACAUCUUAAAUAAUAUCGCCCAUAGUGCCAUCAAGCUUCUUGCCACAUUCUAGGAUAGUGCUUCUUCAGAUAUUUUCUAUUGAGAGCUUUAGGCAAUUUCUCCCCUUGCAAAAAUUGUAGAGAAUAUCAAUUUCCAGGAACAAUCUCUACAAUCUUAUACGGACCUUCCCAACUUGGCGACUAUUUGCCGAAUUUAUUAUUUCUAGUUCCUAUAGACAAAACCGUUCUCCGCACUAAUUCUCCUAUUUGAAACGAUUUCCCCCUUAACUUUUAUUAUAAGCCUUUGCCACUCGUAAUUUCUUUGUUUUCAAUUUCUUGCAAGGCUCUCAACCUUUCCUCUGAUACAUUAUCUAUCCUAUCCAUCAUUAAAUUGUUGUAAUCUAGAGCCGACAAAUCAUUUUGUCUGGCUACUCUAAGAGCUUGCAAAUUAAUCUCCACGGGUAGCACUGCUUCUUGCCCAUACACUAGCUCAUACGGUGUCACUUGAGUCACUCCGUUCGUAGAUAUCCAACGAGCCCAUAAAGCUUCUGAUAGCACUUCAUGCCACCUUCUCGGAUGCUCCUUAAUUUUCUUCUCUAUAAGCUUAAUUAAAGUUCUAUUGCUAGAUUCGGCUUGUCCAUAAGCUUGAGCAUAAUAAGGCGAUGAAUUUAGCAAUUUAAUUCUAAAAGAUUUGGCGCACGAAAUUGACGAGACAUAAAAGAAGAGGCAGGGAGACAGCAACAGCAAAAUCACUCAAACAUGAGACACGGGUAGCAGCAGCGGGUCCACCGGGAGUGAGCAGCAGGCCAGGGCACAUGAGAAUUGCAGCGGCGAGUGCUCGGAGGUGCAGAACUGAGCAGCAGAAUCACGGAGCUGGGCGGGCGGAGGCGGAGGUGCAGAGUAACGAGCCCGUGGCCUGGGGGAAACGGAGGCGGCAACACGGAUAUGGUGGGGCUGCCGAUCUAGGCCGAUUUGCAGGUAGUGGAGUUGUGGAGGCGAGGCGACAUCAGCUACUGCAGCUUGGAAUCGGGAUCCAGCAGGGCGUUGACCAGUGUAGAAUCCUCAGGCGAGGGCAGGUGGCGAUGUGAAGAGCAGGCAGCAGCAGCCGUUAGAAGGAAAUGAUGGCGGCGACCAAAAAAAAGGGAUGGCGGCGGCGCAACGGGGGAUCACAGCACGAGUUGCAUGUGCGAAAAAAACCCUAGGCUCUAAUACCAUGUUAGGAAAUAUGCAACUUGAAUUUCCUAGGGGCCAAUGGCUAGCAUAUUAUAUACUCCCUCCGUCCUAAAAUAACUGUCUUGACUUUGUACUAGCUCUAAUACAAAAUUGUACUAAGCUUAAGACAGUUAUUUUAGGANNNNNNNNNNNNNNNNNNNNNNNNNNNNNNNNNNNNNNNNNNNNNNNNNNNNNNNNNNNNNNNNNNNNNNNNNNNNNNNNNNNNNNNNNNNNNNNNNNNNCACUUAUUUUGGGAUGGAACUCCUAUUAAGCAAAUGUGGUCAUCGGCAACAGGAUUGUGGAUACUAUUUAUUUAUUUUGGUAAAUUUUGUAAGUGAUUCAAACACAAAAUUUAAAUAUUCCUAACAAGAGUUACUAGCCCUUAUUUUCGUAAACAAGAAAUAUGCUACUGUUGUUCUGUCUUCUGAGCCAUUUACAGAACUUCAAUUCCAUAAUCCCACCAGCAUACAAAAAAGACAGGAACUUUUGUACUCGGUAUGCCUACAGUCUACACCAUUGGAAGAACAACUUUCGUCAUUAGUCUCAUCGGUUACAGGGCAGAGCACCAACGGGAGAUGAUCAAGGACAUUCUAUGUUGUUUACUGAUAAAGAAAAUACAAAAAAGAAAAUUCAGUGUUAUACUGUAUGUCAUAAAGGUAGCGAGUGAGAAGGUAAUCAAGCAAGCUAGGAAGAUUGCAUACUGUGGCAGAGGGGGGGGGGAGGAGGUGCACAAUGCAAACCAGAAAUCAACUACAAACAGUAUAUGCACUCAGAAUCACCACAUAAAAGGAGGCAAAGGGUACAUGCUCCAUUACCAUGAUAUAGUACUCCGAUUGCUUCCCUUUGUAGUGUACUCUUGGCACGCCAUGAAUUCCACUAAGAGUGCUGCCAGAUGGAUGUUUUACGCAAACUAAGUUAAUAUGCAUUCUAGAAAUGCCAAUUGCAAUCACAAUUUGUACAGAAAAGCAAGGCCAAAAAGGAAAUUGUACAAAAUGUAAAAGAGUUGCAGGAGCAAGAAAAAAUAGGACAAACUGAACACUUACUUGUAAACCUGCCACUCAUAAGGAGCUCCAUAGCUGCAGCAGCCUUUACUGGUUCGGUGUUCAAAUUUGAUUGCAACCUGAAAAUAAACAAAAACAUGAUAUAAAUAUAAUGCAACUAUCAUAAACUCAACUACUAAAAUACAAGAGGCAUCCAGAUAAGACAAAUUGACCUCCAAAGCAUUUGCACCAGGUGUCCUGUCACUGAGACUAGGAGUGGAAAUACGGCGACCAACGUAUACUUGCCCAAAUCCUCCCUUUCCAAGCUUUCUGUCAAGUUUGUAGGUAGGUGAAUUGCCAAUCUGGAUCUGUUCCACCUCAACGAAAAAGAAUAUGAGUCACGCAAUCACCAAAACGAUGCAACCAUGCUACACCCAUUUUAAAAAGCAGAUAUUCCUACUACGCAACCAGGUAUUCCUACUACACCUACUGCUAAGACUAAUGCAAAAAAGUUAGGUUCCUGCACAUCAAAUGCUAAAGAUUCUUGGGCAGUGAAUAAACUCAGUGAAUCUUGCACAGAUGGAUGAACAAAGGCUCAUCCCAUGUCAGGAGAAAAAACAUUAAUAACUUCUACCUGCAAGAACUCUGACUGUUGGGACCUGCUAUAAUUUUUCCAUUGGGUAGUAAUUUCCAAAGAUUAUAGUAGGAGGCAUAUGCCUGCACUACCCUAUUAAGUACAUCAAUCAUCAUUUUUAGAGCUAGUGCUGUGGUUAGAACUGUUAGAGCAUCUCCAACAGCCACGCUUCGCGCCGCGCCCAAAAAAUAUUUUUACAGCGCACGCGCCGGCUGGUUUAGCGCAGGGAUAGGCGCUGGCUCCAACAGCCGCGCUAUAAUGCAGCGCGCGCAGCAGGCACAAACCACAUAUACAUUUUAAAAAAUAGUGAAAAAAACGAUCAAACAAACAAAAUAAAUCAACAAUAAUAGUUAUUACAACUCAAACAAAUAGUUUCUCGUUCAAUACAACAAAUAAUGCAAUAAACACAACCAAUAGUUCAUGAACAAUACAAUACAAAUAAAGCAAUCAAAUCAUGCUCUUUGUCGUCCAUGCCAUGCCCACCACUCUUCAAUCAGAUCCUUCUGAAGAUCAUUGUGUGUUGCGGGACGCCGAAUGGCAUGAUACGAGGCAACAAAACGGGCAACCCUUUCAGCCCUCCGUCGCACUCGCACGGGAUGUCCCAAGAGCUCAUACUGUGAGUAGUCUACAUCUUGGCCACGCUCAUUCUCGAUGAUCAUGUUGUGCAUGAUCACACAAGCGUGCAUGAUGUACCAAAGCAUUUUUUGAUCCCAAAAUCUAGCCGGUCCUCUCACAAUAGCAAAUUGGGCUUGUAAAAUCCCAAAUGCUCUCUCCACAUCUUUUCUAGCAGCCGCCUGAGCAUUGUGAAAAUCAAGAUUUUUCUUACCUUCUGGCUUUUUCAACGGCUUCACGAAGGUUUGCCACUUUGGAUAGAUGCCAUCCGCUAGAUAAUAGCCAUAGUUGUACGUACGGCCAUUUGCUACAAACUGCACCGGUGGCAACUCACCAUUCGCAAUCUUAUUCAUCAGUGAAGACCGGUUGACAACAUUGAUGUCAUUCAAAGAUCCAGGCAUUCCAAAGAAUGCAUGCCAAAUCCAAGUCUCAUGAUCGGCCACCGCUUCAAGGAUUAUAGUGGAACCCUUUUUUUGGCCGUGGAAUUGCCCAUGCCAUGCCUUUGGACAAUUUUUCCAACUCCAAUGCAUGCAAUCUAUUGAGCCAAGCAUGCCAGGAAAGCCGCGAGAUUUGUUCAUCGCCAAUAGCCUUGCGGCGUCUUCAGCAGUGGGAGAUCUCAAAUACUCCUCGCCAAACACUUGCAUAAUUCCCACUGCAAAGCGCUUGACACACAUGAUGGCUUGGCUCUCACCCAUAGCCAAGUGAUCAUCAACUAAAUCAGCCGGGAUACCGUAUGCCAACAUACGCAAAGCGGCUGUCACCUUCAGAAAGGUGCUAUGCCCGAGCUCUCCGGCGGCAUUCCUCCUUUGCUGGAAAAACCGGUCAUGGCUCGCAAGUUUCUCUACAAUGCGCUUGAACAAGUCUGUGCUCAUCCUAAACCGGCGACGAAAAUACGACUCCGGGUAUGUGGGAUUCUCCACGAAAUAGUUCUUCAUCAAUCUGUUAUGGGCAUCAAUCCUAUCUCUCCAAAAAAUUUCCCGACCCAUAACCGAACCACCGUGCUUCGGUUUUUUAUUGAUAUGCAUAGCUAUGAUCAUUGCAAGAUCCUCCUCCUCUUCCAUAUCAAACUCUUCUUCGGAAGAAGCAUACGACGAACUCAUCUACAAUGUUCAAUACUAUACUAUAAAAAACUACAAUUCAAAACAUGCACCAAAUUCAUAAAUUUGAAGCAAUACAUACCUUGUAGGCAUUUUGUCGAACACCUUGCGGGCGCGGCGCGGCAGCGAGCGGUGGGGCGCUGUUCCUCGGACGUCGGAGGCGCGCGAGGGCCGGCCGGACUAGGAGGGGUGGGGCGGAAGCGCGGCGGCGCGGGGAGGCCGGGGAAGCGCCUGAACGGGGGGCGCGGGCGGCGGCCGCAGCGGAGACAGGCCGGGGAAGCGACGGCGGGCNNNNNNNNNNNNNNNNNNNNNNNNNNNNNNNNNNNNNNNNNNNNNNNNNNNNNNNNNNNNNNNNNNNNNNNNNNNNNNNNNNNNNNNNNNNNNNNNNNNNAUAUAAGAGCGUUUAGAUAACUACUUUAGUGAUCUAAACGCUCUUAUAUUUCUUUAUAGAGGGAGUACAUCCAAACAACAAUUGGAAUUGGGUUCUACCCUGUGAUUCCAACAGUAAAUUCCAUGCACAACCAAACAAUAGAAUCCGAAUUGGAGUCCAUUUCCUUUCCAUCUUGGAAUUGGAACUAUCAGUCCAGUUCAAUUCCAAGCAGUUUUUCCUACAUCCAAACAGGGGGCUAAUGUAUUUGCCUAGAAUGUCUUAUUGGCUCUUGUGCUACUUCAAAGUAGACAUGGAUUUACAUUUUUCUAGCAAAUAAUGGCUAUAGUAAUGAUCAGGUAUUGUACCUAGUGCUACAUAUAUCUCAGAAUAUAUUGGCACAUUGGCACUGUGGUCUAUGGCUCUACCGUUUGUCUGAGUAGCUAAGUACUUGUUACUGUGCAUAUAUUCCUCGAUCUGCUUACCUAUUAUCAUCUAUGCACAUAUAUUUUUGUGCAUUAAUGUUAAUUUGAUGCUGACGAAACAAGUCUUCUGAUCCAACUGAAGUUUUGAGUAAGUUUAGGAUCAACAGUGACACUGACAUUCACUCAGGAAGGUGAAAGACUACUAGCUCCAUCCUGGUUUAUUGGUCCCCCCGUAUUUUGUGCCAAAUUUUUAUCAUAGAUUUAACUAACAAAAUUUUAAUUCAUGCCACCAAAAAUUAUAUAGUUGGGUAUUUGAACAUAGUUCCCGAUGAUAAUAUUUUUCUAUGUAUAACUUAUAUUUUAUUAGUUAAAAUCAUGGUCAAAAUAUGACCCUAAAUACGAGGGGGCUAAUAAAACAGGACGGAGGUAGUAUAUAUAUUACUACGUGGAAAGUAAAGUUCAAAACUAACAGUGAACAGCUAUAUGAACAAAAGCACAGCUAUAUGAACAAAAGCAGAGUGCUUCAGAAGCAAUGGAAGGUUAAUGAUUUUCCAAUUUAUAUGAACUUUGACGCUCUAACUGGUUUCUACUACCUCUGUACACUUUUAUAAGACGUUUUAGAUCAAUAAAGUAGUGAUCUUGAACGUCUUAUAAAAGUUUACGGAGGGAGUAGUAUUUAUUAAAUUAUUUACACACUUGAUUAAGACUUUCUACCUCAAACCAUUACAUCUUCAUCAAAUUCAAUCUACUUUAUUCAAUAGGUACAUUUAAUCAGUUAAACAAACUUAACAAGCAUGGAGCAUGCCAGCAAUCAUAUCUGGUGGUUUGGCUAUUGGCGCAAAGUGGUACUCCCUCCAUCCCAAAAUAAGUGNNNNNNNNNNNNNNNNNNNNNNNNNNNNNNNNNNNNNNNNNNNNNNNNNNNNNNNNNNNNNNNNNNNNNNNNNNNNNNNNNNNNNNNNNNNNNNNNNNNNGGAUCCGGUGUGAGGUGGCCGGUGGAGGCAGGGCUUCGACCAUGGAGGUGCCGGGGCUGGUGACCGCGGCGUGACAGAGUCCGGAGGAGGAGCUGGUAGGGGCGAGGAGGGCCGGCCGGAGGUGGAGGAAGGCAGUGGUGGCCGGCCGGUGGUGGAGAAGCGGCCGACGCAGGUGGGGGUCAAGGUGGCCACGGGAAGGAGGACUCGGUGGAGUGGGAACGAGGGAAGGGAGGCGGCCUGAGGUAGGGCCGCCGAAGGGCUGGCCGGAGGAGGCGGAGGGAGGGGCCUCGGUGGUUGCUGCGUGGGGUGAGGGUUUGGUCGUGGGGUGGGGUGAGCUCGUGCUGGCGCUCGAGCACUGGGGCGAGCGAGGGAAGGCCAGGGAGGCGCGGGCUAGCGAGGGAACGAGGGAGCCAGCGAUUGGGAGAGGCGGGUGGAGCGAGCCCCUUAUGGCCAGGGGCGAUGGGAGUGGGGGCUCGUCGGCGCAGGGAGGAAGUGGGGAGUGGGGUGAGGGGGAUUUAGGGUUUGGGGCAGGGAUUAUAUACCCCGGGUAGGUGGGCCGGCUCGGGUAGAAUUAGGUGGGUUGGGCCGGCCCAGGUAGGGGGUGGGGGUUUGUUUUGUUUUCUUUUCGUUUUAUUUUAUCUACAGUUUUAGAAUUAUUUUAUUUUAGUGAAAUUUAACACCCACCAACUUAAUAAUUCCUAAAGGAAAUUUUCCUAAGUAAUAUUUGACAAACUUCAAACAUUUUUAUUUUUCUUUAUAUUGAAAACUUUUAUCAUUCGAUUUUAUUUUGUAUUUUGAAUUUUACUCGGUUUGAACUAACACGAGAUUAACGAUGGUAAUCAUGGUGACAUGGCAUCAUUAGCGCGGGAUAACUGUAGCUUAACUACAUACAACAAUGUAGAAAAACUAAGGAUGUCACAACUCUCCCCUACUAAUAAGAAUUCUCGUCCCGAGAAUUAAGAGGUAGAACGAAAUAGCUCGGGGUAUUCAUCACGAAGAUGAUUCUCGCAUUCCCAAGUGGCUACAUCUUCAGAAUGAUUUGACCAUUGCACUUUAAGGAACUUGGUGACUUUGCGAUGAGUUUGAUGUUCAGCCUGGUCGAGAAUGUGGACCAAAUGCUCUUUAUAAGAAAGGUUUUGUUGCAGCUCAAGCAUAUCAUGAUCCACUGCUCGAAUAUCAUCCUUGAAGCAGCGACGAAGCUGUGACACAUGGAACACAUCGUGAACCUGAGAAAGGUUUGGUGAUAGUUCCAACUGAUAAGCUACUCUUCCACGCCUUUCGAGAACAGUGAAAGGACCAAUAUAGCGAGGAGCUAACUUUCCCUGGAUCCCAGAAUGGUGUGCGCCUCUCAUUGGUGUGACACAAAGAUAAGCCUUUUCGCCAGGUAGAUAGACCAUAUCUUGAUGAUGACGGUCAUACUGACUCUUCUGACGAGUCUGAGCAGCCUUCAGAUUGUCAUGGAUAAUGCGGACUUGAUAUUUGGCAUGGUGGAAUAUCCGGAUCAAAGAAUGAUCGUUCCAUUGGACGGUGGCUUCGGAAUUUCAUAUGAUGCCAAGUGCAAAGGAUACUUUGUAUUCAAAAGAUGCACAUGAGAGUGAGGUUUCGAUCCUGUGAAACUUUGGGUUAUGGGUCCACCAUGUGGGCCGAGAGUAGGCAGAGGGGUGACAUCUUGUACGGUAUUGGUAGCAAGACAUGUCAUAGGAUAACCUGUCAGUUAUGUUGGCAACAACAUCGGUACCAAGGGUGGGGGACAAAUAGAACCAUUUUCCUGCUCGUUGGAACGAGGCAGACCAAUAGGCAAAGUUCUCUUCCAUCGGGGGCUACCGAAAUGAUAUCCACAAGAGUAACAGGGUCUUAUUGACAGAGUUGUAUACCGAGGUUGUUACCUAAGUAGGGAAUUAACACUGCUUAAAUGAGUUCAGAUUCAAGAGAGGUCAAACUGACCAUUGGGAAGGAAAAGGUGAUCGUCACGUCAAAUAGACCAAUGGAAAGGAAAAUGUGUUCACACACACAAGUAUUAGAGCAUACCAUUCCCGAGAAAAAUAGGGUAUGGUAUACGUGAUAUGUCAUCAAGUACAUAAUAUUUAGAUAAAGAGGCAAGAAGAAUCAUGAUCUUUACCCAUACCAUACAAUUUAGAUAAUUGAUCAGGAACAAUUUAGGAUUGCGCUUCCAAUGUUCCCGUUGACAAUUGAAGUACCACAUUCGUGUUUUGGGAUAGCAUUGACAUGGUCAUACGAUAAAGGUCGGACCUUGGGUAUACAAAAUGAUCCAUGAGGAACAACUAAAAAAAGUUACUCAUACAAUUUCCUCACGGGAGAAUGGUUAACCUUACUAAGGGAGAUAUUAUAUCAAUAGGUCCUUCGGCCCGGUGUACUAGACAAGACAUCAUCGUACCAGGUUACAUAAGACCAAAGUUAUAAUUAUUAGGAAAUGUCUCAAACAUCAUAUCUACCCGAGAUUCAGAUCUGAUUGGUGUUAGGGCACCUCAGACUCAAGAUGCCUGAGAAGAAAAGAUGAACAUGCAAGAUUCUCAUGAUAUGAGCGACACAAGCAAUUCUUGAAUCAUGAGUUCGAUUGUAAGACACAUGAACAAAAUGUCAAGACAUUCGUGUCCACAUGGAGUUCUUACAACACAAUGCAACAGAGUUCUGAUUUGAGAACCAUCAUCGAGGAUAUCAAGGCCCUUGUGUAAGCCUCAAUUAGCUCUUAUGAAGGAACUUAUUUUGCUUGAUAAAAUCAGUCAGUGGCUUGGUGCUACUUCUCAAACAACAACGCCAGAAAUUGACACGUUGAUGGAGACUUGCUUGUGUUGGUUUUUCCCUUGAAGAGGAAAGGUGAUGCAGGACAGGAGCAGUAAGUAUUUUCCUCAGUUUGAGAACCAAGGUAUCAAUCCAGUAGGAGAAUCUCGUCAAGUCCAGAGUACCUGCGCAAACACAAAAGAGCUUGCACCCAACGCUAUAAAGGGGUUGUCAAUCCCUUCAAGAUUGAUUGCAAAGUGAGAUCUGAAGGUGGAAAGUGCAACGAAGUAAAAGAGUAAGACUGAAAAUAUGGUGUGAAGUAGAACCGGGGGCCAUAGUGUUCACUAGAGGCUUCUCACAAAAUAGCAAAUAUUACGGUGGGUGAACAAAUUACUAUCGAGCAAUUGAUAGAACCGCGCAAAGUCAUGACGAUAUCUAAGGCAAUGAUCAUACAUAUAGGCAUCACGUCCGAGACAAGUAGACCGAUACUUUGUGCAUCGACUACUAUUACUCCACACAUCGACCGCUAUCCAGCAUGCAUCUAGUGUAUUGAGUUCAUGACAAACAGAGUAACGCCUUAAGCAACAUGACAUGAUGUAGAGGGAUAAACUCGAACCAAUGAUGAAACCCCCAUAUUUUUACCCUCGAUGGCAACAACACGAUGCGUGCCUCGCUACCCCUUCUGUCACUGGGUGAGGUCACCGCACGGUAUGAACCCAAAACCAAGCACUUCUCCCAUUGCAAGAAUCAUAGAUCAAGCUGGCCAAACAAAACCCACAACUCGAAGAGAAUUACAAGGAUAUGAAAUCAUGCUUAUAAGAGAUGAGAAAAAACUCAAAUAAGAUUCAUAGAUAAUAUGAUCAUAAAUCCACAAUUCAUCGGAUCUCGACAAACACACUGCAAAAGAAGAUUACAUCGGAUAGAUCUCCAUGAAGAUCAUGGAGAACAUUGUAUUGAAGAUCCAAGAGAGAUACGAAGCCAUCUAGUUACAAGCUAUGGACCCGUAGGUCUAUGGUGAACUGCUCACGCAUCAUCGGAGAGGUCAUGGUGUUGAUGAAGAAGCCCUCCGUAUCCGAAUCCCCCCUCCGGCAGGGCACCAGAACAUGCCCCAGAUGGGAUCUUGCAGAGACAGAAGCUUGCGGCGGCGGAAAAGUACAUUCGAUGAUCUCCUGAUUUUUUUCUGGAAUUUUUGGGAAUAUAUAGGCGAAAGACCUAGGGCAGAGGAGGCCCAGGGAGCCCACAAGCAUGGGAGGCGUGGCCCCCUGGCCACGGCUAGGGGGCUUGUGGGGUCCCUGGUGGCCCCCUGCCUUGGUUCUCAAGUUCCCCGAUCCUUUGUUGUUUCAGAAAAAAUCUUUUUGGAAGUUUCAUUCCGUUUGGACUCCGUUUAAAAUCCUCCUCUGAAAAGGGUCAAAAACACAAAAAAAACAGGAACUGACACUUGGCACUGAGUUAAUAAGUUAGUCCCAAAAAAGAUAUAAAAGGCAUAUAGAACAUCCAAAGUUUGACAAGAUAAUAGCAUGAAACCAUCAAAAAUUAUAGAUACGUUGGAGACGUAUCAAUCAUCCCCAAGCUUAACUCCCGCUCGUCCUCGAGUAUGGAAGUGAUAAAGACUGAAUUUUUGGUGUGGAAUGCUACCUAGCAUAGUUGUCCUUUGUAACUUCUUUCAUGUGACAUGAAUGUUCAGAUCCGUAAGAUUCAAAACAAUAGUUUGCUAUUGACAUGAAAACCAUAAUAUUUUAAGCAAACUAGCAAGGUAAUCAUGAACUUUCGAAAUAACAAGGGCAAAGAAAGUUAUCCCUACAAAAUCAUAUAGUCUGGCUAUGCUCCAUCAUCCCCACACAACUAAUUUAAAUCAUGCACAACCCCAGUAUUGGCCAAGUAAUUGUUUUCGCACUCUUACUUACUCAAACCUUUUUCAACUCUCACGCAAUACAUGAGCGUGAGCCAUGGAUAUAGCACUAUGGUGGAAUAGAGUGUGGUGGUGCUUGUGAGACAAAAAGGAGGAGAUGGUCACAUUGACUCAGCGUAAUAAAGGGCUAUGGAGAUGCCCAUUAAUAGAUAUCAAUGUGAAUAAGUAGGGAUUGCCAUACAAAGGAUGCACUAGAGCUAUAAGUAUGUGAAAGCUCAAAAGGAGAACUAGUGGGUGUGCAUCCAACUUGCUUGCUCACGAAGACCUAGGGCAAUUUGAGGAAGGCCAUCAUUGGAAUAUACAAGCCAAUUUAUAUAAUUAAAAUUCCCACUAGCAUAUGGUGGUGACGAAACGAGAGGCUCUCAAUCAUGAAGAACACGGUGCUAUUAUGAAGCACAAGUGUGGAAAAAGAUAGUAGCAUCGUCCCUUCUCUCUUUUUCUCUAUUUUUUUUAUUUGCGUUCUUGGGCCUCUUUUUUUUCUCUUUUUUUAUUUGAGAUCUUUGGCCUCCUUUUUUUAUUUCCUCACAUGGGACAAUGCUCUAAUAAUGAUGACCAUCACACUUUUAUUUACUCACAGGUCAAAGCUCAGAACGAUGAUGACUAUAGGAAAUGCCUCCGGCAGUGUACCGGGAUGUGCAACGAUCUAGCUUGGCGUAUGACGUUGAAACAUCUCGCUAGCUAUCUUACGAUCAUGCAAUGGCAAUAUGAGAGUGACGGAACAAGUCAUGAGAUGGAAUGGUGGGAGUUGCAUGGCAAUAUAUCUCGGAAUGGCUAUGAAAAUGCCAUAGUAAGUAGGUAUGGUGGCUGUAUUGAGGAAGGCAUAUGGUGGGUUUGUGUACCGGCGAAAAUUGCGCGGUACUCAAGAGGCUAGCAAUGGUGGAAGGUGAAAGUGCAUCUAUACCUGGACUCACAUUAGUCAUGAAGAACUCACAUACUUGUUGCGAAAGUUUUUAUUAGUAAUCAAAACAAAGUGCUAAACGCAUACUCCUAGGGGAAGGGUUGGUAGGUGUUAACCAUCGCGCGAUCCCGAGCUCAACACAAAGGAUGACAAUCAAUAGAUCAAUUAUGCUCCGACUUCCUAACAUAGCGGUUCACCAUACGUGCAUGGUACGGGAAUCACUAACUUCAACACAAGUAUUUCUAGGUUCACAACACCCUACUAACACAACUCUUAAUAUUACCAAAUCCACGUCUCAAAACUAAUUGAGAGGAAUCAAAACUUCUCUUUCUACUCAAUGCACAUGAAGAUGGAGGUUUUUGUAUCCUCUUUGGGUACCUAUCACCUUUGGGACUACUUUCAUAGAAUAAGCCAACUACCAAGUCACACACCGUUGUGCUCUAAAAGAUCUAAGUGAAGCACAUAGAGCAAAAUUAUCUAGCUCAAAAGAUAUAAGUGAAGCAUGAUGAGCAUUCUAGCAAAAUCACGAUGAGUGAAUGUCUCUCUCAAAAUGUAUGCAGCAAGGAUGAUUGUGACACAACAAAAAUAAAAGACUCCUACGGUACAAGACGCUCCAAGCAAAACACAUAUCAUGUGUUGAAUAAAAAUAUAGCUCAAAGUAAUGUUACCGAUGGAUUGAAGACGAAAGAGGGGAUGCCUUCCCGGGGCAUCCCCAAGCUUAGGCUUUUUGGUGUCCUUGAAUUUAGCUUGGGAUGCCUUGGGCAUCCCCAUGCUUGAGCUCUUUCCACUCCUUAUCUCUUUGUCCAUGAGAACAUCACCCAAAACCUGAAAACUUCACAACACAAAACUUAAACAGAAACUCGUGAUAACAUUAGCACAAGAAAACAAACUACCACCUCUUUAGGUACUGUAGCAAUCUUGAUUUCUAUUUAUAUUGGUGUUAGGUUACUGCAUUCUCACUUUUCCAUGGCUAGUACCCCCGAUACUAUCCAUAGUUUCAUCAAAACAAGCAACCAACUCAACAAAAACAGAAUCUGUCCAAACAGACUAGUUUGUAGGAAUCUGUAUACUUCGUAUACUUUUGGUACCUCAAAAAUUCUAAAACAUUACAACUACCUGGGAAAAAGGCAUAUCAACCAGCAGCAAAAAGAAUAAACUCAACAACUCUUUCUGAAUAAAAAUUAAAAAUAAUUUCGUGAGCGAAUAGUUUCUGUCUUUUUCAAGUACAAUCAAACAACCAUCACCAAGACUAGUCAUAAAGGUUUUGCUUGGCUCAAACACAAAAAGAAACACAAAAGACACUAUCAUAACAGAAUUAUGAUGGCGUGGACGCAACAAGACAUAAAGAAAAAGAUAAAUUCAUUGGGUUGCCUCCCAACAAGCGCUAUUGUUUAACGCCCUUAGCUAGGCAUUGAUAAUUCAAUGAUGCUCACAUAAAAGAUAGCAAUCGGGCAUGAAGAGAGCAUCAUAAAGCAUGUGAAAAUCAUAUCUAAGUCUAACAUACUUCCCAUGCAUAGGCAUUUUAUAGGAAAACAGAUUGUCAAGACAACCAAUAGUUACCAUAUGCAAGGAAGAAGAAAGAGACAAUAUCAAUCUCAACAUAACGAGAGGUGAUUUGGUAACAUGAAAGUUUCUACCACAAUAUUGUCAUCUCUCAUAGCAAUUACAUGUGGGAUCAUAAUCAAAUCCAACAAUAUAGCUAUCCCAUAGGAUAUUCUUUUCAUGAUCCACAUGCAUGCAAAGUUGACGCUCUUCAAAAAUAGUGGGAUUAUCAUCAACUAAAGUCGUGACUUCUCCAAACCCACUUUCAAAAUUAUUGCAAAUAUCAUAUUCAUCAUGAGGUUUAUUUUUUUUGAAGAUCAUAAGAAAAAUCAUCACCCCAUUCAUGAUCAUUGCAACAAGUAGAGGACAUAGCAAAACUAGCAUCCCCAAGCUUAGAGUUUUGCAUAUUUUAUCAUGAUUAUCACUAAUAGAAUUUAUAGUGGAACCAUUGCAAUCAUGAUUUUCAUUCAAGGAGCCCUCGUGAAUCACUUCAUAAAUUUCUUCAUCAUAAUUUUCAGAUUCACGCAUCUCAAGCAAAACUCCAUAGAGAAAGUCAAGUGCACUCAACUCACUAGCAAUUGGAUCAACAUAAUUGGAUCUCUUAAAGAGAUUAGCAAGUGGGUGAGGAUCCAUAUCACUAGAUUUUCAGCAAGCGAAGAUGCAAGCAUAUUGAAGGCACAUAGCACACAAGCAAAGGAAAGGCAAACGAAAAAGGCAAAACUUUUGUAAAUUUUGUUUUUUUCAAAAGUGGGGGAGAGGAAAACGAGAGGCAAAAAAGUAAAUGAAAGAGAUGAGUUUGCGACACUUACUUGGAUGAGUUCUUGACUCGAUCCUCCCCGGCAACGGCGCCAGAAAUCCUUCUGCUACUUCUCAAACAACGGCGCGAGAAAUUGACACGUUGACAGAGACUUGCUUGCGUUGGUUUUUCCCUUGAAGAGGAAAGGGUGAUGCAGCACAGGAGCAGUAAGUAUUUACCUCAGUUUGAGAACCAAGGUAUCAAUCCAGUAGGAGAAUCUCGUCAAGUCCAGAGUACCUGCGCAAACACAAAAGAGCUUGCGCCCAACGCUAUAAAGGGGUUGUCAAUCCCUUCAAGAUUGAUUGCAAAGUGAGAUCUGAAGGCGGAAAGUGCAACGAAGUAAAAGAGUAAGACUGAAAAUAUGGUGUGAAGUAGAUCCGGGGGCCAUAGUGUUCACUAGAGGCUUCUCUCAAAAUAGCAAAUAUUACGGGGGGUGAACAAAUUACUGCCGAGCAAUUGAUAGAACCGCGCAAAGUCAUGACGAUAUAUAAGGCAAUGAUCAUACAUAUAGGCAUAACGUCCGAGACAAGUAGACCGAUACUUUCUGCAUCCACUACUAUUACUCCACACAUCGACCACUAUCCAGCAUGUAUCUAGUGUAUUGAGUUCAUGACGAACAGAGUAACGCCUUAAGCAAGAUGACAUGAUGUAGAGGGAUAAACUCAAACCAAUGAUGAAAACCCCAUCUUUUUACCCUUGAUGGCAACAACAUGAUGUGUGCCUCGGUACCCCUUCUGUCACUUGGUGAGGUCACCGCACGGUAUGAACCAAAAACCAAGCACUUCUCCCAUUGCAAGAAUCAUAGAUCAAGCUGGCCAAACAAAACCCACAACUCGAAGGGAAUUACAAGGAUAUGAAAUCAUGCAUAUAAGAGAUCAGAAGAAACCCAAAUAAGAUUCAUAGAUAAUCUGAUCAUAAAUCCACAAUUCAUCGGAUGUCGACAAACACACCGCAAAAGAAGAUUACAUCGGAUAGAUCUCCAUGAAGAUCAUGGAGAAAUUUGUAUUGAAGAUCCAAGAGAGAGAAGAAGCCAUCUAGCUACUAGCUAUGGACCCGUAGNNNNNNNNNNNNNNNNNNNNNNNNNNNNNNNNNNNNNNNNNNNNNNNNNNNNNNNNNNNNNNNNNNNNNNNNNNNNNNNNNNNNNNNNNNNNNNNNNNNNNNNNNNNNNNNNNNNNNNNNNNNNNNNNNNNNNNNNNNNNNNNNNNNNNNNNNNNNNNNNNNNNNNNNNNNNNNNNNNNNNNNNNNNNNNNNNNNNNNNNNNNNNNNNNNNNNNNNNNNNNNNNNNNNNNNNNNNNNNNNNNNNNNNNNNNNNNNNNNNNNNNNNNNNNNNNNNNNNNNNNNNNNNNNNNNNNNNNNNNNNNNNNNNNNNNNNNNNNNNNNNNNNNNNNNNNNNNNNNAUCCGAAUCCCCCCUCCGAGAGGGCACCAGAACGUGCCCUAGAUGGGAUCUUGCGGAGACAAAUGCUUGCGGCGGCGGAAAAGUACUUUCGAUGAUCUCCAGAUUUUUUCGGAAUUUUUGGGAAUAUAUAGGAGAAACACCUAGGGCAGAGGAGGCCCAGGGAGCCCACAAGCCUGGGAGGCGCGUCCCCCUGGCCGCGGCUAGGGGGCUUAUGGGGUCCCUGGUGGCCCCUGCCCUGGUUCUCAAGUUCCCCGAUCGUCUUCUGUUUCGGGAAAAAACUUUUUGGAAGUUUCGUUCCGUUUGGACUCCGUUUAAAAUCCUCCUCUGAAAAGGGUCAAAAACAUGGAAAAAACAGGAACUGGCACUUGACACUGAGUUAAUAAGUUAGUCCCAAAAAAGAUAUAAAAGGCAUACAAAACAUCCAAAGUUUGACAAGAUAAUAGCUUGAAACCAUCAAAAAGUAUAGAUACAUUGGAGACGUAUCACUUGGCGUGCUAAGAGAAGUUAUAUGAAGUGAAGAUAACAAUUCUUCAACACAUAUAUCACUUCGCACAUGCGUGAAUGAUUUGGCAUUUCCCGAGAGGAAGCGAAACAAAACUUUCACAUAUUCACGUCGGCAAGAGUGCACGUGAACCUUGGGAAAACACUUAUUCUUAUCAAAUAUAUUCUUCAUGAGCUAGGCACAAGGAUAGUGCUUUCCAAAGCUUCAUCACGAACCAUGGUGAAGUUGAGGGUGUGGCCGAUGGGUUCAACAACAAUCCCUCAAGAUUUCGAUGGGGAUGAAUUUCCAAAAUUAUAAUAUUAAGGAGAUAGCAUUCGUCAAAUCAAAUGGCAUAAUGUGGUAUGCUCGAGGGAAACAACAACAAUUAAACAUUGGUCAAAGGGUGCACUUAAAAAUACUGAAUGAGUAUCGCGAGCAUUGCUAGAAUGGUGAGUCGACAACCAACACACCAAGAAUGAAACUAUUAGUCAUUAACUUCAAGGCAAUAGGGUUGCGAGAAGUAUUGGAAUCACACACCAGAUUUCACUUGUUGAUAUUCCGGUUUGAAACAACACGGGACCAAGAAAUGGAUGGUGAUGGCGAGAAGUAUCACUAUAUCAAGAAUUCUCUAAGAGGUGCACCAAUGCUCACAACAUUCUUGACAUAAAAGAUGGUAAUACUCCAAGGUAGAGGAUAACAUAAGCUGAAUUAGCAAGGAACUCAAAGGACAACACAAAACACGAACACGUUUGUGUUGGAGGGAAGGCAAAAAGGUUUACCGUUGAUAGCACCAAUCAUUGAGAGGGAAGGAUAGUCCUUAUCAUCAAGAAUCUGAUUGAUACCCUGGAAGAGUUCAGACUGCUGAUGAUUGAUCAUGGCACAUUAGUCAAAAAGGUUCAUGAAGAUGUAAUCAUUCAGCAACGACAUCAAGUAGAGGAAUGAUGAAGCGAAAGGUUAUCGAAAUCAUAGAUAAGACCGCUAGCACCGAAUCAAAAUUGCCUUUCAAGACAACCAACAUGAUAUCAAAAAAUCCAAUGUAAGCUUAACGCACAGUUGGAAAUGUGUUCCGGGGAUGAAGGACAUAGACAACAUGGUCAAGCUCUAGCAUGACGAUGAUGAUAAAGCCUAACAACUUGGAACGACAUGAUCGAGUACAAUCUCAUAAGCAAAUAAUAUUACUAAGAGUUGUUGAAUUGCAAUGCGUACACAAUUCAGUUAUCAGUGUCCUUGAGUGUCCAACAACUCAAACACGAGGAAACUGGAAUCAAUGAAAUGUCAUAGUUGAUGAGUAACUCGUAAGAAGUUAUAUAGCUCCAUGAUAUUUUAGAGAUACCAGGGACAGUGCUGAGAGGUAGAUCAGAGUAGAGGUUAAACUAAUGUAUUGAUCUGUGGAAGACAAGCACUUUAACUUAUCUACGUAUGGGAUCAAAGAAGAAUAAUCAUGGUCGGAACCACGGUUGCAAAGUACAAAAUCACAGAUACAAGAUCAAAUCAUACAACGGAUGAUUAUUGAUACGACAAGUUUAUUAGAUAGGAUCAACGUCGUUUCCAUGGGCAUGAACACAAGUUCAAGGUCAACUCCCACUUCAUCAAUGCAUCACCUGUCAUUUACUCCUCGCCUUUGAUCAGGUUGUGGCUUUGAAAGAGUAUUCGGCAAAACACCAGAAGAUUAAUUCUCAUGAAAACUCUUUGGGUCAUAUUGAUAUAGGAAGGCAUAGGUUCAACCCAUCGGGGCAUUGCUACGGCAACAAAAGUCCUUCCCCGGCAACGCCAGGAAUUAUUCUUGCUACUUCUCUUGGUUGCGUCGGUUUUUCCCUUGAAGAGGAAAGGGUGAUGCAGCACAGGAGCAGUAAGUAUUUCCCUCAGUUUGAGAACCAAGGUAUCGAUCCAGUAGGAGGGUCUCGUCAAGUCCAGAGUACCUGCGCAAACACAAAUGAGCUUGCACCCAACGCUUCAAAGGGGUUGUUAAUCCCUUCAAGAUUGUUUGCAAAGUGAGAUCUGAAGGCGGAAAGUGCAACGAAGUAAAAAGUGUAAGGCUGGAAAUAUGGUGUGGAGUAUACCCGGGGGGCAUAGUGUUCACUAGAGGCUUCUCUCAAAAUAGCAAAUAUCACGGUGGGUGAACAAAUUACUGUCGAGCAGUUCAUAGAACCGCGCAAAGUCAUGACGAUAUCUAAGGCAUGAUCAUUCAUAUAGGCAUCAUGUGUGAGACAAGUAGACCGAUACUUUCUGCAUCCACUACUAUUACUCCACACAUCGACCGCUAUCCAGCAUGCUUCUAGUCUAUUGAGUUCAUGACAAACAGAGUAACGCCUUAAGCAAGAUGCCAUGAUGUAGAGGGAUAAUCUCAAACCAAUGAUGAAAACCCCAUCUUUUUACCCUUGAUGGCAACAACACGAUGCGUGCCUCGCUACCCCUUCUGUCACUGGGUGAGGUUACCGCACGGUAUGAACCCAAAACCAAGCACUUAUCCCAUUGCAAGAAUCAUAGAUCUAGUUGGCCAAACAAAACCCACAACUCGAAGAGAAUUGCAAGGAUAUGAAAUCAUGCAUAAGAGAGAUGAGAAGAAACUCAAAUAAGAUUCAUAGACAAUCUGAUCAUAAAUCCACAAUUCAUCGGUCUCGACAAACACACCGCCAAAAAUGAUUACAUCGGAUAGAUCUCCAUGAAGAUCAUGGAGAACUUUGUAUUGAAGAUCCAAGAGAGAUACGAAGCCAUCUAGUUACAAGCUAUGGACCCGUAGGUCUAUGGUGAACUACUCACGCAUCAUCGGAGAGGUCAUGGUGUUGAUGAAGAAGCCCUCCGUAUCCGAAUCCCCCUCUGGCAGGGCACCAGAACGUGCCCCAGAUGGGAUCUUGCAGAGACAGAAGCUUGCGGCGGCGGAAAAGUACUUUCGAUGAUCUCCUCAUUUUUUGUGGAAUUUUUGGGGAUAUAUAGGCGCAAAACCUAGGGCAAAGGGUGUCCAGGGGGCCCACAAGCCUGAGGGCUGCGACCUCCCUCCCUGGCCGCGGGGUGGGGGCUUGUGGGGACCGUGGGGCCACCCUGCCUUGGCUCUCAAGUCUCCUGAUCUUCUUCCGUUACGGAAAUAAUCUUUUCGGGGAUUUUAUUCUGUUUGGACUCCGUUUCAAAAUCUCCUCUGAAAGGGGUCAAAAACAUGGAAAAAACAGGAACUGACACUUGGCACUGAGUUAAUAAGUUAGUCCCAAAAAAUAUGUAAAAGGCAUGGAAAACAUCCAAAGUUUUACAAGAUAAUAGCAUGAAACCAUCAAAAAUUAUAGAUACGUUGGAGACGUAUCAAGCAUCCCCAAGCUUAACUCUUGCUCGUCCUCGAGUAGGGAAGUGAUAAAGGAUGAAUUUUUGAUGUGGAAUGCUACCUAGCAUAGUUAUCCUUUGCAACUUAUUUCACGCGACUUGAGUGUUCAGAUCCAUAAGAUUCAAAACAAUAGUUUUCUAUUGACAUGAAAACAAUAAUACUUCAAGCAAACUAGCAAGGUAAUCAUGAACUUUCAAAAUAACAAGGCCAAGGAAAGUUAUCCCUACAAAAUCAUAUAGUCUGGCUAUGCUCCAUCAUCCUCACACAACUAAUGUAAAUCAUGCACAACCCCGGUAUUGGCCAAGUAAUUAUUUUCGCACUCUUACUUUCUCAAACUUUUUAUAACUAUCACGCAAUACAUGAGCGUGAGCCAUGGAUAUAGCACUAUAAGUGGAAUAGAGUGUGGUGGUGGUUGUGAGACAAAAAGGAGGAGAUGGUCACAUUGACUCGGCGUAUCAAAAGUCUAUGGAGAUGCCCAUUAAUAGAUAUCAAUGUGAAUUAGUAGGGAUUGUCAUACAAGAGAUGCACUAGAGCUAUAAGUGUGUGAAAGCUCAAAAGUAAAACUAGUGGGUGUGCAUCCAACUUGCUUGCUCACGAAGACCUAGGGCAAUUUUGAGGAAGCCCAUCAUUGGAAUAUACAAGCCAAGUUAUAUAAUGAAUAUUCCCACUAGCAUAUGGUAGUGACAAAGCAAGAAGCUCUCAAUCAUGAAGAACAUGGUGCUAUUAUGAAGCACAAGUGUGGAAAAGGAUAGUAGCAUUGUACCUUCUCUCUUUUUCUCUUUUUUUUCAUUUAGGCUCUUAGGCCUCUUUUUUUUUCUAUUUUUUUUAUUUUUUGUUGGGAUCUUUGGCCUCUUUUUUUUAUUUCCUCAUAUGGGACAAUGCUCUCAUAAUGAUGAUCAUCACACUUUUAUUUACUCAUAGCUCAAAGCUCAAAAUGAUGAUGACUCAAUAGGAAAUGCCUCUGACAGUGUACCGGGAUUUGCAACGAUCUAGCAUGGUGUAUGAUGUUGAAGCAUCUUGCUAGCUAUCUUACGAUCGUGCAAUGGCAAUAUGAGAGUGACGACACAAGUCAUGAGACGAAAUGGUGGGAGUUGCAUGGCAAUAUAUCUCGGAAUGGCUAUGAAAAUGCCAUUGUAGGUAGGUAUGGUGGCUGUUUUGAGGAAGGCAUAUGGUGGGUUUGUGCACCGGCGAGAAUUGCGCGGCACUAAAGAGGCUAGCGAAGGUGGAAGGUGAAAGUGCAUCUAUACCAUGGACUCACAUUAGUCAUGAAGAACUCACAUACUUGUUGCGAAAGUUUUUAUUAGUAAUCGAAACAAAGUGCUAAACUCAUACUCCUAGGGGAAGUGUUGGUAGGUGUUAACUAUCGCGCGAUCCCGACCUCAACACAAAGGAUGACAAUCAAUAGAUCAAUUGUGCUCCAACUUCCUAACAUAGCGGUUCACCAUACGUGCAUUCUACGGGAAUCACUAACUUCAAUACAAGUAUUUCUAGAUUCACAACACCCUACUAACAUAGCUCUUAAUAUUACCAAAUCCACGUCUCAAAACUAUUUGAGAGGAAUCAAAACUUCUCUUUCUACUCAAUGCACAUGAAGAUGGAGGUUUUUUGCAUCCUCUUUCGGUACCUAUCACAUUUGGGACUACUUUCAUAGCAUAAGCUAACUACCAAGUCAUGUACCGCCGUGCUCUAAAACAUAUAAGUGAAGCACAUAGAGCAAACGUAUCUAGCUCAAAAGAUAUAAGUGAAGCACUAUGAGCACUCUAGCAAAAUCAUGAUGAGUGCAUGUCUCUCUCUCUCUCAAAAAGGUGUGCAGCAAGGAUGAUCGUGACACAACAAAAAGAAAAUACUCCUACGAUACAAGACGCUCCAAGCAAAACACAUAUCAUGUGGUGAAUAAAAAUAUAGCUCCAAGUAAUGUUACCAAUGGAUUGAAGACGAAAGAGGGGAUGCCUUCCCGGGGCAUCCCCAAGCUUAGGCUUUUUGGUGUCCUUGAAUUUGGCUGGGGAUGCCUUGGGCAUCCCCAAGGUUGAGCUCUUUCCACUCCUUAUCUCAUCAUCCAUGAGAACAUCACCGAAAACUUGAAAACUUCACAACACAAAACUCAAACAGAAACUCGUGAUAACAUUAGCACAAGAAAACAAACUACCACUUCUUUUGGUACUGUAGCAAACUUGAAUUCUAUCUAUAUUGGUGUUGGGCUACUGUAUUCUCCAUUUUCCAUGGCUAGUACCCCCCGAUACUAACCAUAGUUUCAUCAAAACAAGCAACCAACUCAACAAAAACAGAAUCUGUCAAAAACAGACCAGUCUGUAGCAAUCUAUAUACUUCGUAUACUUCUGGUACCUCAAAAAAUCUGAAAAUUACGACUGCUUGGGGAAAAGGCAUAUAAACCAGCAGCAAAAAGAAUCAACUCAAAAGCUCUUCCUGAAUAAAAAUGAAAAAUCAUCUCGUGAGCGAAAAGUUUUUGUCUUUUUCCAGCACGAUCAAACAACCAUUACCAAGACUAGUCAUAAAGGUUUUUCUUGGCUCAAACACAAAAAGAAACACAAAAAACACAAUCACAACAUAAUUAUGAUGGUGUGGACGCAACAAAACAGAAAGAAAAAGAUAAAUUAAUUGGGUUGCCUCCCAACAAGCGCUAUUGUUUAACGCCUUUAUCUAGGCAUAAAUGCGAUAGAAUCACGUAUUGUCGUCUUUGGUGCUCAAACCAUAAGUGGCCCUCAUCAUGGAUUCAUAAGGCAAUCUUAGUUUCUUUCUAGGAAAGUGUUCCAUGCCCUUCCUUAAAGGAAAUUGAAAUCUAAUAUUCCCUUCCUUCAUAUCGAUGAUAGCACAGAUAGUCCUUAGGAAAGGUCUACCAAGAAUAAUAGGACAUGUAGGAUUGCAAUCAAUGUCAAGCACAAUGAAAUCCACGGGUACAUAGUUCCUAUUUGCAAUAAUAAGAACAUCAUUGAUCCUUCCCAUGGGUUUCUUGACAGUAGAAUCCGCAAGAUGCAAAUUAAGAGAACACUCUUAAAUCUCAUUAAAACCCAGAACAUCACAUAAAGACUUUGGAAUCGCGGAAACACUAGCACCCAAAUCACACAAAGCAUUGCAUUCAUAGUUUUUGAUUUUGAUUUUGAUAGUAGGUUCCCACUCAUCAUCAAGCUUUCUAGGGAUAGAGACUUCCAAUUCAAGUUUAUCUUCAAGAGAUUUUAUCAUAGCUUCGACGAUAUGAUCGGUAAAGGCUUUGUUUUGGCUAUAAACGUGUGGAGAGUUUAGCAUGGAUUGCAUCAAGGAAAUGCAUUAAAUCAAGGAGCAACUAUCAUAAUUGAAUUCCUUGAAAUCCAAAGUAUUAAUUUCAUUACUACUCAAAGUUUUAAUAUUUUCUACUCCACUUUCAAUGCUUUUAGCAUCAAGAUAGAUGGACUCCGAAUCAUUGGGGUGUUUUUCAACCAAAGUGGAUUCAUAUCCAGCCCCAUCAUCAUUAGGUUUGACACAAGAAAACAAAGAUUCAAUGGGAGUCACACCAAGCACUUUAAGAUCUUCAUGAUUCUUAUCACGAGAACACGCCUUUUUAAGCCAUUCAUGUCUAGCACGAAUUUGGGCGGUUCUUUCUUUGCUCUCACUCAUGGAAACACACAUAGCUUUCAAAGUUUCAUAUUACUCUCUAGAUCAGAGGGUAAUCUAUUGUAAUUUCCAUGAGUAUUGUUGUAGGAGUUGCCAAAAUUAUUAGAGGAGUUACUAGGAAAAGGCCUAGGAACAUUGUUUCCUCUAAAAGCAUUGUUGUUGCCAAAGUUAUUCCUACCAAUAAAAUUAACGUCCAAGCUAGCGUUGCUACUCUCAAUCAAAGAAGACAAGGGCAUAUCAAUAGGAUCUAAAGGAGCACUUCUACUAGCAAUCAAAUUCAUUAACUCAUCCAUCUUAGCACUCAACGAGUUAAUUUCUUCUAUAGCGUGUACCUUCUUACUAGUAGGUGACCUUUCAGUGUGCCACUGAGAGUAGUUCGUCAUGAUGUUGUCUAAGAGCUUUGUGGAUUCCCCUAACGUGAUUUCCAUGAACAUUCCACCUCAGGCGGAGUCCAAGAUAUUUCUAGAAGCGAAAUUCAAGCCAGCGUAAAAGAUUUGAAUAAUCAUCCAAAGACUCAAGCCAUGAGCGGGACAAUUUCUAAUCAUUAAUUUCAUUCUCUCCCAAGCUUGUGCAACAUGUUCAUGAUCAAGUUGCUUGAAAUUCAUGAUAUCAUUACAGAGAGAGAUGAUCUUAGCCGGCGGAAAAUACUUGGAUAUAUAAGCAUCUUUGCACUUAUCCCAAGAAUCGAUACUAUUUUUGGGCAAAGAAGAAAACCAAGUUUUUGCGUGAUCUCGCAACGAGAAAGGAAAAAGCUUCAAUUUAAUCACGUCAUCAUCCACAUCUUUCUUCUUUUGCAUAUCGCAAAGCUCAAUGAAGGUAUUGAGAUGGGAUGCGGCAUCUUCACUAGGAAUGCCGGAGAAUUUCUAUUUCAUAACAAGAUUCAGCAAAGCGGCAUUGAUUUUGUAUGACUCCGCACUAGUGGCGGGAGCAAUCGGAGUACUAAUAAAAUCAUUAUUUUUAGUAUUCGAGACGUCACAAAGUUUGGUGUUUUCAUUCAUGGUGACUGAGGCAAGCAAGAAAGCACACGAGCGAACAAAGAGCAAGCGAGAGAAAGGCGAACGAAAAGGCAAACGAAAAAGGCAAACAAAAAAGGCAAAUUGGUGAAGUGGGGGAGAGGAAAACGAGAGGCAACUGGCAAACAAAGUAAAUGCAAGAGAUGAGUUUGCGACACCUACUUGGAUGAGUUCUUGAAUUGAUCUUCCUCCCCGGCAACGGCGCCAGAAAUUCUUUUGCUACGGCAACAGAAGUCCUUCCCCGGCAACGCCAGGAAUUCUUCUUGCUACUUCUCUUGUUUGCGUCGGUUUUUUCCUUGAAGAGGAAAGGGUGAUGCAGCACAGGAGCAGUAAGUAUUUCCCUCAGUUUGAGAACCAAGGUAUCGAUCCAAUAGGAGGGUCUCGUCAAGUCCAGAGUACCUGCGCAAGCACAAACGAGCUUGCACCCAACGCUUCAAAGGGGUUGUCAAUCCCUUCAAGAUUGUUUGCAAAGUGAGAUCUGAAGGCAGAAAGUGCAACGACGUAAAAAGUGUAAGGCUGAAAAUAUGGUGUGGAGUAGACGGUGGGGCCAUAAUGUUCACUAGAGGCUUCUCUCAAAAUAGCAAAUUCACGGUGGGUGAACAAAUUAUUGUCGAGCAACUGACAGAACCGCGCAAAGUCAUGACGAUAUCUAAGGCAAUGAUCAUACAUAUAGGCAUCACGUGCGAGACAAGUAGACCGAUACUUUCUGCAUCUACUACUAUUACUCCACACAUCGACCGCUAUCCAGCAUGCAUCUAGUGUAUUGAGUUCAUGACGAACAGAGUAAUGCCUUAAGCAAGAUGACAUGAUGUAGAGGGAUAAUCUCAAACCAAUGACGAAAACCCCAUCUUUUUACCCUUGAUGGCAACAACAUGAUGCGUGCCUUGCUACCCCUUGUGUCACUGGGUGAGGUCACGACACGGUAUGAACCCAAAACCAAGCACUUAUCCCAUUGCAAGAAUCAUAGAUCUAGUUGGCCAAACAAAACCCACAACUCGAAGAGAAUUGCAAGGAUAUGAAAUCAUGCAUAAGAGAGAUCAGAAGAAACUCAAAUAAGAUUCAUAGAUAAUCUGAUCAUAAAUCCACAAUUCAUCAAGUCUCGACAAACACACCGCAAAAGAAGAUUACAUCGAAUAGAUCUCCAUGAAGAUCAUGGAGAACUUUGUAUUGAAGAUCCAAGAGAGAGAAGAAGCCAUGUAGUUACUAGCUAUGGACCCGUAGUUCUAUGGUGAACUACUCAAGCAUCAUCGGAGAGGUCAUGGUGUUGAUGAAGAAGCCCUCCGUAUCCGACCCCCCCCUCCGGCAGGGCACCAGAACGUGCCCUAGAUGGGAUCUUGCGGAGACAGAAGCUUGUUGCGGUGGAAACGUACUUUCAAUGAUCUCCUGAUUUUUUGUGGAAUUUUUGGGGAUAUAUAGUCGCAAAAUCUAGGGAAAGGGUGUACAGGGGGCUGAGAAGCCUGAGGGCCGCGACCUCCCCCCUGGCCGCGGGUUGGGGGCUUGUGGGGCCCUUGGGCCCCCUGCCUUGGCACUCAAGUCUCCUGAUCUUCUUCCGUUACGAAAAAAAUUCUUUUUGGGGAUUUUAUUCCGUUUGGACUCCAUUUCAAAAUCUCCUCUGAAAGGGGUCAAAAACAUGGAAAAAACAGGAACUGGCACUUGGCACUGAGUUAAUAAGUUAGUCCCAAAAAAUAUAUAAAAGGCAUGCAAAACAUCCAAAGUUUGACAAGAUAAUAGCAUGAAACCAUCAAAAAUUAUAUAUACGUUGGAGACGUAUCAGGCAUCUUAGGAACAUAUAGCACAAACUUCAAGAGUAAUUAACACAUGCUUGACAACAGAGCAUGGCCGACAAAACCGUAGGAUACAAUUUAUCAGAAGGAGAAGACACAAUUUACCAAUGGCAUUAUGUAUCACGGGAACAAUAUCACAAGAAUUUUUUAAAUGUAAAGGAUUCCGCCAGAUAAUAACCCAACAAUGGGUCUGACGAUCCACAAAGGACCUCAUGUGAGUAUUGGUACUCAAUCAGAGGGAGAUAGGAUGCAAUGCAUCGGGUUAUAGAACAUCUGAAAAAUAUCGAUACUUAAUUACCAAAGGAAUUAGGAUUUCCAGGUUGGUGUAUCAUAAUCAGAUGCUCCGAUCAAAUACAAGUAAGUUGAAUGGACUUAGAUGGACAAUCAACCAAGUUUUGAUUUGUCGAGAACCAGCUCUGUCUGUAAGGACGUCUAAGACGGAAAGAUAAUUUAUGAGUAUCAACACAUGAUUGUGUGCAUUCACACAAAGGUAGAAUCAAUAAGAUCACAGGAAGAUCACAAAGGAUUUUAAUGAAUGCGACUAGACAUAUGGAUUUAACCAUUAUGCAAGCAGGUGAGAAAGGUUAAGAGCAAUAGGCUACUCAGGAUUUCGAAAGAUCAAAUAGCAAUUCGAAGAACUUUCGAAACCCAUGACAAGUGAUGACAGACGAAUCCCCGAUAAGAUAAUUCGUUGCAUCUUGCAAAACAAGAGCAAUUGUAAAGAAAGUAUGAACGCCAUUUGUAUGCAGUCAUCCAUAAGGGUUGACGGAGGAUUGGAAAUCGCAGAAGCGAUGAGCACCAGCUCUUGAGAGAACAUUGAUACGUCUCAAACGUAUCUAUAAUUUUUUAUGGUUUCAUGUUGUUAUCUUGUCAACUUUGGAUGUUUUAUAUACCUUUUAUAUCUUUUUUUGGACUAACUUAUUAAUUCAGUGCCAAGUGCGAGUUCCUGUUUUUUCUGUGUUUUUGACUCUUUUCAGAUCUGAUUUUGGAACGGAGUCCAAACGGAAUAAAAUCCCCGAAAUAAAUUUUUCUAGAACAGAAGAAGAUUGGGGGACUUGAGGGCCAAGGUAGGAGGCCCACAGGGAGCCCACAAGCCCUGUGGCUGCGGCCAGGGGAGGCCCACGAACACCAGGCUUGUGGCCUCCCUGGAGCUCCCCUGCCCUAGCUCUUUGGCCUAUAUAUUCCCUAAAAUCCCUGAAAAAAUCAGGGCGUCCACGAAACCACUUUUCCACCGCCGCAAGCUUCCGUUUCCACGAGAUCUCAUCUGGAGACCCUUCCCGGUGCCCUGCCGGAGGGGACUUUGGAGCUGGAGGGCUUCUACAUCAACAUCAUUGCCUCUGCAAUGACUCGUGAGUAGUCCACUUCAGACCUACGUGUCUGUAGUUAGUAUCUAGAUGGCUUCUUCUCUCUCUUGGAUCUUCAAUACAAAGUUCUCCAUGAUCUUCAUGGAGAUCUAUCCGAUGUAAUCCUCUUUGGCGGUGUGUUUAUCGAGAUCCGAUGAAUUGUGGAUUUGUGAUCAGAUUAUCUAUGAAUUAUAUUUGAGUCUUUGCUGAUUUCUUAUAUGCAUGAUUUGAUAUCCUUGUAAGUCUCUCCGAGUCUUGGGUUUUGUUUGGCCAACUAGAUCUAUGAUUCUUGCAAUGGGAGAAGUGCUUGGUUUUGGGUUCAUACUGUGCGGUGACCUUUCCUAGUGACAGAAGGGGAAGCAAGGCACGCAUCGUGUUGUUGCCAUCAAGGGUAACAAGAUGGGCUUUCAUCAUAGAUUUGAGAUUGUCCAUCUACAUCAUGUCAUCUUGCUUAAGGCGUUACUGUGUUCUUAUGAACUCAAUACACUAGAUGCAUGCUGGAUAGCGGUCGACGUGUGGAGUAAUAGUAGCAGAUGCAGGAAGUAUCGGUCUACUUUUUUUGGACGUGAUGCCUAUAUGUAUGAUCAUUGCCAGAGAUAAUGUCAUGACUUUGCGCGGUUCUAUCAAUUGCUCGACAGUAAUUCGUUCACCCACCGCCUACUCGCUUUCAUGAGAGAAGCCACUAGUGAACACUACGGCCCCCGGGUGUAUUCACAACUAUCAUCUCUGCUUUUACUUUUACUUUGCUUUAUUUACUUUUUGCUUUCAGUUCUCACUUUGCAAGCAAUCUAUAAGGGAUUGACAACCGCUUCAUAGCGUUGGGUGCAAGCUCUUUGUGUUUGUGCAGGUACUUGUGACUUGACGCGAUCCUCCUACUGGAUUGAUACCUUGGUUCUCAAACUGAGGGAAAUACUUACCGCCGCUGUGCUACAUCACCCUUUCCUCUUCAAUGGAACACCAACGCAAGGCUCCAAAGUCGCGGGGGAAUCCUUUGCAUAUUUGCCAAGGAAAUCCCUAUAGGCGUAGUCAGCAGCAGAAGGAUUUCUGGCGCCUUUGCUGGGGAGGAUCGCUUGCCGAGGAGUAUCAAGACAAGAAUAAUCUCCUAUCAACACGCCAAUUUCUGGCACCGUUGGCGAGGAGAGAUCAAGUCAAGAUCUAUCCAAGUAAGUGUCACAAACUCAUCUCUUGCAUUUACCUUUUUUGCCAGUUGCCUCUCGUUUUCCUCUCCCCCACUUCACAUUUGCCAUUUUCAUUUGCCUUUUGCCGUUUUCCUUUGCCAGUUUUCUUGCUUGCUUGUGUUCUUGUUUGUUUGUUGAAGUCAUCAUGGCUGAAAACACCAAACUUUGCGGCUUCUCGAAUACUAAUAAUAAUGAUUUUAUUAGUACUCCGAUUGCUCCCGCCACUAGUGCGGAAUCAUAUGAAAUCAACGCUGCCUUGCUGAAUCUUGUUCCUAGUGAAGAUGCCGCAUCCCAUCUUAAUACUUUCAUUGAACUUUGCGAUAUGCAAAAGAAGAAAGAAGAAAGAUGUUGUUAAAUUGAAGCUUUUUCCGUUCUCUUUGCGAGAUCGUGCAAAAACUUGGUUUUCUUAUUUGCCUAAAAAUAGUAUCGAUUCUUGGAAUAAGUGCAAAGAUGCUUACAUGUCCAAGUAUUUUCCGCCAGCUAAGAUUAUCUCUCUCCGUAACGAUAUCAUGAAUUUCAAGCAACUUGAUCAUGAACACGUUGCACAAUCUUGGGAGAGGAUGAAGUUAAUGAUUAGAAAUUGUCCCGCUCAUGGCUUGAGUUUGUGGAUGAUUAUACAAAUCUUUUACGCUGGUUUGAAUUUUGCUUCUCGCAAUAUCUUGGACUCCGCCUCAGGUGGAACAUUCAUGGAAAUCACGUUAGGAGAAGCUACAAAACUCCUGGACAAUAUCAUGACCAACUACUCUCAGUGGCACACUGAAAGAUCACCUGCUAGCAAAAAGGUACACGCUAUAGAAGAAAUUAACUCGCUUAGUGCUAAGAUGGACGAGUUGAUGAAUUUAGUUGCUAGUAGAAAUGCUCCUUUAGAUCCUAAUGACAUGCCACUAUCUUCCUUGAUUUAGAGUAGCAACGCUAGUUUGGACGUUAAUUUUGUUGGUAGGAACAAUUUUGGCAAUAACAAUGCUUUUAGAGGAAACNNNNNNNNNNNNNNNNNNNNNNNNNNNNNNNNNNNNNNNNNNNNNNNNNNNNNNNNNNNNNNNNNNNNNNNNNNNNNNNNNNNNNNNNNNNNNNNNNNNNNNNNNNNNNNNNNNNNNNNNNNNNNNNNNNNNNNNNNNNNNNNNNNNNNNNNNNNNNNNNNNNNNNNNNNNNNNNNNNNNNNNNNNNNNNNNNNNNNNNNNNNNNNNNNNNNNNNNNNNNNNNNNNNNNNNNNNNNNNNNNNNNNNNNNNNNNNNNNNNNNNNNNAAUGCUUUUAGAGGAAACUAUGUUCCUAGGCCUUUUCCUAGUAACUCCUCUAACAAUUAUGGCAAUUCCUACAACAACAGUUAUGGAAAUCAUAAAAAAUUACCCUCUGAUUUAGAGAGUAAUAUCAAAGAGUUCAUCAACUCUCAAAAGAUUUUCAAUGCGUCCAUAGAGGAAAAACUACUCAAAAUAGACGAUUUGGCUAAGAGGGUUGAUAGGAUGUCUUGUGAUAUUGAUGCUUUGAAAGUUAGAUGUGCUCCUCCGAAGGUCAACUUGGAUGAAACUUUAAAAGCUAUGCGUGUCUCCAUGAAUGAGAGCAAAGAAAGAACCGCCCAAAUUCGCGCUAAGCAUGAAUGGUUUAAAAGGGUGCGUUUUAGUGAUGCAAAUCACGAGGAUCUUAAAGUUCUUGGUGUGACUCCUCUUGAAUCUUUGUUUUCGCGUGUCAAACCUAUUGAUGAAGGGGCUGGAUAUGAAUACACUUUGGUUGAAAAACGCCCCAAUGAAGAGUAUUCUAGCUUGAAGCUUGAGCCAAUAUUAUUCCUUUCUUGCAUAUAGGGGCAUCUCCACAUAAACCUUAAGCCAUAGAUCUCCAUGGACUUUUCUUGAAGUAUCUUGGUAGAAGUGGUAGUCCAAGAGACAAUGUAUGUUGUCAUGAAUUAUGAAAAUCACCAAGGGAGCAUAUGUGCUUUCAAUCUCUCCCUUUUUGGUAAUUGAUGGCAACAAACAAUCAUAGCUUCAAAUAAAGAUAAUCAUAAGGAUAUGACAACUUUGAAAGAAACAUGACUAGUACAAGCUCCCCCUAAAUGUGUGCAAUCCCUUUUAAAGUAUAGUUGCUUUGGAAUGCAUGGGCACACACAAGGUAGCAGGACAAGACAAGUCAUAGACAUCCUGGCUAUAUGCAUCAAACAUAUGUAAAUGAAGAAGUUCCAUGUUCAAGUCUCCCUCUUGCAAACAGUAUGUGCAAGAAACAAGAGGUCAUCAUGAACAUGGAUAUGAUGCAUAUACUUACCUUGAGGAUCUUGAGCGUUUUGACAUAGGAGUACACUUGGGAAAACAGAUGUUAGAUAACAAAAGAGUACCCUGUUGUAAAGAUGCAAAGAGCCUCAAAAAUACCAAGAAAUUGAAGACAUAUUGAAGAUAGGUUUUGAUAAAAGGAUACGUCUCCAAAGAACAAGAACUUUUCUCCCCUAAAGAUUAAUAUGUAGGGAUUCCUCUCCCCCUGAAUCUGGGAGUAGGCAGGGGAAAUAAGUUCAAACCAAUAAAUCCAUAUUUAUCUGUCUCCCCCUUAAUGUGUAAGGUUUGAUACAUCUCCCUAUAGGAAAAAUAUCUCCCCUUAGUGUUGUUUCUCCCUCUUUUCUAUAAGCUUCUUGGUGACAUUUCUCCCCUAUAAUAGGUUCAUUGAAUGGAAGCUUUGGUACUUUGAUAUGAUAUUUCUCCCCCUUUGGCAUAAAUUACCAAAAAGAAGGUCAGAGGGUAAGGGCUCACUGAGAGAAAGGGAUCCUGGAUUCUUCUUUCUGUUUGAAGGGCUCCUUGCAUUUGUCUUUCGCCCUUUGGUAUGAAUAAGAGUUCCUUGAAUUAUCUCCUCCUAUGUUAGGGAUCCUAGAUGAUUAUCCCUCUUAUAUAACAUGGGAUCACUGAAGUGUUUCUCCCCCUAGAGAAGUCCCCCCCCCCUAAAACUUACAUUUAGAAGAAAUUUUUAGAGCAAUAAUUUUUGUCAGAAAGAUCGGAGUCACCGAGGCUAAAUGGUUCGGUAGAACCGAGUUUGAUAUUCACGACUUUUGGGUGAAAUCGGUUGGACCGAGUUUCCCAAUUCCGAAAAAACGAGUUGCAAUGAUAGUCAACUCUUCAAUAGAAGAAUAGGCUGGACGGAAGAUUUGUUUAAAGAUUCCAAUUGUAAAAGAAGGUACUAAUUGAGAAAGAGAAACAAAAGUAAAAGUAAAACAAAGAGUUUUUUGUGUGUUUUUAGAGAUAUAAGAUAGAUACAUGCAAGUAGAUGAGAUUUGAAUGGUUCUAAGAGUGUGAAAGGUCAAAUGUGAACCAUACAAUGAUCACCAUCUAGAUGUGGGGCGGUGACAAAGUCACCUAUAUUACAGUAUUUGACUUGAGGAGUCAAGCAAGGAUGCUUGAUCAUAGGUCAUACUCAUCGUUAAGCGCGAAAUGGGGUUACCAUUUUUCGAUUAAGCUUUUCAAUGUCUUCAUAUCACCUGAGUUGCUUUACUCCAUGAAUUGGUGUAGAGCUUUAUCAAGGAUAUGUGUACAUACCUUCGAAUGAUGUUGAUGAUGUGGCAUGUAGGUGAACUUGUUGUGGAUGCUCAAAGUUGAUGAAGAUCAUCUUGAGUUUGGAGCAAUCCAUGUCGUUUUGGUUCACUUUUCACCUACAAUGGUUAGUCAUGCAAGGAAGACCAUAAUAUAUCCAAAUGACAAGAGUGAACAACUUCAACAAAUGGUAGUCAAGGAUAUGAUUUUGUUGUCUUCUUCCUUCAUCCGCGAAGAGGGGUUGUUGAUACUUGGCCAUGUCAAUAUUGCUUUUGAUUGGAGUUGAUGGCAAUAUUGUGGCGUGUAUUUCUUGCAAGUACAUACAAAAGGUUAGAUGCAAUACAAGGGAGCAUAGUUUCCAAGAUAUAAGAUAAUCAAAUAAAUGGCAUCAAGGAUUAGUUAGUCAAGCUCAUGCCCUUGCAUGCUUCCGAGUGAGUCUAGAUCAUUUGAAGCAUCAAUGAUGUUCAACUCACUCCCCAAAUGACAGAACACUUUCUCAUCAAGUGGUUUGGUAAAUAUAUCAGCUAGUUGUUUGUUAGUAAAAACAUGCUUGAGAUUGAUAUCUCCUUUAGCAACAUGAUCACGAAUGAAAUGAUGUCGCACUUCGAUGUGUUUUGUUCUAGAAUGUUGCAUAGGAUUAUAGUCAAUCUUAAUAGCACAUUCAUUGUCACACAAUAAUGGAACUUUUCUAACAUGAAUGCCAUAAUCCUUAAGCUUUUUAGUCAUCCAUAGUAAUUGAGCACAAGAUGAUCCAGUGGCAAUGUAUUCAGCUUCGACAGUUGAUAAGAAUACUGAGUUUUGUUUCUUGGAUGUCCAAGAGACAAGAGAUCUCCCAAGAGAUUGACAUGUACCUGAGGUGGAUUUUCUAUCAACCUUGCCUCCAACAUAGUCCGAGUCGGAAUAGCCAACGAGAUUCAAAGAAGAUCCCUUGAGAUACCAUAUGCCAAAGUUUGGUGUAUGUAUAAGGUAUCUCACUAUCCUUUUCACAGCCUAUAGAUGACACUCUUUAGGUGCUGCUUGAUAGUGAGCACACAUGCACACACUCAGCAUGAUGUCAGGACGGGAGGCACAUAGAUAUAACAAUGAACCAAUCAUUGAUCGAUAAACCUUUUGAUCAACGGGUUUGUCCUCCUUAGUGAGGUCAAGAUGUCCACUAGUAGGCAUGAGGGUCCUCAUACCUUUGCAUUCUUGCAUGUUGGACAUUCUGAUUAAGUCCUUGGUGUACUUCGUUUGAGAGAUAAACAUACCUUCUCUCAAUUUUUUGAUUUGCAAUCCAAGGAAAGAACUUCAGUUCACUCAUCAUAGACAUCUCAGACUUCUCUAACCUUAGCUUUCCAAACUUUUUACUAAAAUGUGGGUUAGUGGUACCAAAGAUAAUAUCAUACACAUAUAUUUGGCAAACAAAUAGUUUGCCAUUAACUCUUUUAGUGAAUAAUGUUGCAUCAAUUUUACCAAUCUCAAAACCCUUUUCAAGGAGAAACUUUGUUAGGCGUUUGUACCAAGCUCUAGGUGCUUGUUUGAGACCAUAUAAAGCUUUACAAAGUUUGUAAACAUGAUCAGCUUUCUUAGGGUUCACAAAACCAAGAGGUUGUUUAACAUAAACUUCCUCUUCAAUUUCUCCAUUGAGAAAGUCACUCUUAAUAUCCAUUUGGUAAAGAGUUAUAUCAUGGUGAUUGACAUAAGCUAGAAUAAUACGAAUGGCUUCAAGUCUAGCAAUAGGAGCAUAAGUCUCACCAUAGUCCAUACCUUCUACUUGCGUGUAUCCUUGGGCUACGAGACGUGCUUUGUUGCGUACAACUUGUCCAUCUUCAUCUUUCUUGUUCCGAAACAUCCAUCUUGUACGAAUGAUAUUCUGCCCGCCUUCAGGUUUUUCAACAAGUGUCCAUACUUGGUUCCUCCCGAAGUUGUGUAGCUCUUCGUGCAUAGCGUUCACCCAAUCUGGAUCUUGAAGAGCUUCUUCUACCUUCAAGGGUCCAGUACUAUAUAUGAAAGAAUAAUGCUCACAAAAGUUAGCUAAUUGAGAUUUAGAGCGAGUGAUUCUCCCGUUUUUUAUGUCACCGUAGAUUUGUUUUAAUGGAUGAUCUCUGUCCACUCUUCUUCUAAUUCUUGACAGCUUCUUCUUGUUGGAUGAAGGAGCUUCUUCUUCAUCGUCUUCAUCAUCUUGAAUGUUGUUGUUGACGUCAUCAUCUCCUUGGGCUGGUGGUGAGGAAGGUUGAGGUGGAUCAUCACGAUGUACUUCUUUCUCUUCUUCAUCAUGUCGUGUACUGCUUGUGAAUGCUUCCAUGCCAUUUUGCGGUUUUCCUUGACGCGAAGUGGGAGCUUCCGCUUGAGUUGAUGAAGUACUUUCCUUCACCUCCAUGGGACGAAUCUUGCCAGUAGCGAUGAAACCAGUCUCUCGUAAGCGUACGAGUAAUGUCGGUCCGAGCCGCUUCGAUCCAACAAUACCGCGGAAUCAAGAAAAGACUAAGGAGGGCAGAAAAUCGCACAUCACCGCCCACAAAAACUUUUGUGUUCUACUCGAGAUAACAUCUACGCAUGAACCUAGCUCAUGAUGCCACUGAUGGGGAACGUCGCAUGGGAAACAAAAAAUUUCCUACGCGCACGAAGACCUAUCAUGGUGAUGUCCAUCUACAAGAGGAGAUUUGGAUCUACGUACCCUUGUAGAUCAUACAAAAGGAAGCGUUAAGAAACUUGGUUGAUGUAGUGGAACGUCCUCACAUCCCUCGAUCUGCCCCGCGAACCAUCCCACGAACCGUCCCGCGAUCCGUCCCACGAUCCGCUCCGAUCUAGUGCCGAACGGACGGCACCUCCGCGUUCAACAGACGUACAUCUCGAUGAUGAUGUCCACCUUCUUGCUCAAGCAAGAGGGGUACGAGAGGUAGAAGAGUUCUCCGGCAGCAUGACGGUGCUCCGGUGGCGGUGAAGGAUCUACUCCCGCAGGGCUCCGCCCGAGCUCCGCAGAAACACGAUCUAGAGGAAAAACUGCGUGGCAUAGGUUCGAGCAGCACGUGGCAAAGUUGUGUCUCAAAAACCCUCAAUACCUCUAGUAUAUAUAGGAGGGAGGAAGGGGAGGAGGCAGCCUCAAACCCUCAAGGUUUGGCCGAAACUGGAGGUGGAGGAGUCCUACUCCAAUCCUACUUGGAGUAGGAUUCCACCUUCCCACUUGGAAACUCUUUCCACCUUGUGUUUUUUCCUUCUCAAACCUUAUGGGCCUUAGUGGGAACUUAUUCCAGCCCAGUAGGGGCUAGUUUAUCUCUUCACAUAGCCCAUGAGACCUAUUGGGGCGUUACACCCCUCCCGAUGGUCCCCGGCACCCCUCCCGGCACUCCCGGUACACUACCGAUGAGCCCGAAACUUUUCUGGUGACCAAAACAGAACUUCCUAUAUAUCAAUCUUUACCUCCGGACCAUUCCGGAGCUCCCCGUGACGUGCUGGAUCUCAUCUGGGACUCCGAACAACAUUCGGUUACCAACACCUAUAACUCAACUAUACCGAAACGUCACCGAACCUUAAAUGUGCAGACCCUGCGGGUUCGAGAACUAUGUAGACAUGACCCGAGACACUCCUCCAUCAAUAUCCAAUAGCGGAACCUGGAUGCCCAUAUUGGAUCCUACAUACUCUUCGAAGAUCUUAUCGGUUGAACCUUAGUGCCUAGGAUUCAUAUAAUCCCGGAUGUCAUUCCGUUUGUCCUUCGGUAUGUUACCUGCCCGAGAUUUGAUCGUCUGUAUCCGCAUACCUAUUUCAAUCUCGUUACCGGCAAGUCUAUUUACUCGUUCCGUAAUACAAGAUCCCGUGACUUACACUUAGUCACAUUGCUUGCAAGGCUUGUGUGUGAUGUUGUAUUACCGAGUGGGCCCCGAGAUACCUCUCCGUCACACGGAGUGACAAAUCCCAGUCUUGAUCCAUACUAACUCAACGGACACCUUCGGAUAUACCUGUAGAGCACCUUUAUAGUCACCCAGUUACGUUGCGACGUUUGAUGCACACAAGGUAUUCCUCCGGUGCCAGUGAGUUAUAUGAUCUCAUGGUCAUAGGAACAAAUACUUGACACACAGAAAACAAUAGCAAUAAAACGACACGAUCAAUAUGCUACGUUCAUAGUUUGGGUCAUGUCCAUCACAUGAUUCUCCUAAUGAUGUGAUCCCGUUAUCAAGUGACAACACUUGCCUAUGGCCAUGAAACCUUGACCAUCUUUGAUCAACGAACUAGUCAACUAGAGGCUCACUAGGGACAGUGUGUUGUCUAUGUAUCCACACAUGUAUUUGAGUUUCCAAUCAAUACAAUUCUAGCAUGGAUAAUAAACGAUUAUUAUGAACAAGGAAAUAUAAUAAUAACUAAUUUAUUAUUGCCUCUAGGGCAUAUUUCCAACAGUCUCCCACUUGCACUAGAGUCAAUAAUCUAGUUCACAUCACCAUGUGAUUUCAACGAAUCCAACACCCAUAUAGUUCUGGGGUUUGAUCACGUCUUGCUCAUGAGAGAGGUUUUAGUCAACGGUUCUGAAACUUUCAGAUCCGUGUGUUCUUUACAAAUCUUUAUGUCAUCUUAUAGAUGCUUUUACUACAUGCUAUUCUGAAAUACUCCAAAUAUCUACUCUACUAUACGAAUCCGUUUCACUACUCAUAGUUAUUCGGAUUAGUGUCAAAGCUUGCAUCGACGUAACCCUUUACGACGAACUCUUUAACCACCUCCAUAAUUGAGAAAAAUUCCUUAGUCCAUUAGUCACUAAGGAUAAAUUUGACCGUUGUUCAAUGAUUCAAUCCUGGAUCACUCGCUGUACCUCUUAACAGACUUGUGGCAAGGCACAUAUCAGGUGCGGUACACAACAUGGCAUACUGUAGAGUCUACGGCUAAGGCAUAGGGAACGACCUUCAUCCUUUCUCUUUCUUCUGUCGUGGUCGGGCUUUUGAGUCUUACUAAUAUUCACACCUUACAAUACAACCAAGAACUCCUUCUUUGCUGAUCUAUUUUGAACUCCUUCAAAAACUUGUCAAGGCAUGCAUUUCAUUUGAAAGUUCUAUUAAGAGUAUUGAUCAAUCUCUAUAGAUCUUGAUGCUCAAUGUUCAAGUAGCUCAAUCCAGGUAUUCCUUUGAAAAACUCCUUUCAAACAACCUUUUAUGCUUCACAGAAAUUCUACAUUACUUCUGAUCAACAAUAUGUCAACCACAUAUACUUAUCAGAAAUUCUAUAGUGUUCCCACUCACUUCUUUGGAAAUACAAGUUUCUCAUAAACCUUGUACAAACCCAAAAUCUUUGAUCAUCUCAUCAAAGUGUAUAUUCCAACUCCGAGAUGCUUGCACCAGUCCAUGAAAGGAUCGCUGGAGCUUGCAUACUUGUUAGUAUCCUUAGGAUUGACAAAACCUUCUGGUUGUAUCACAUACAAUCUUUCCUCAAGGAAACCGUCAAGGAAACAAUGUUUUGAUUUCCUAUGUGCAAUAUUUGAUAAAUAAUGCAACAACUACUAACAUAAUUCCAACAGACUUUUAGCAUCGCUAUGACUUAGAAAGUCUCAUCAUAGUCAACUAUUUGAUCUUGUUGGAUACAUCUUUGCGACAAGUUGAGCUUUUCUUAAUAGUGACUUAUCACCAUCAUCGUCUGUCUUCCUUUUAAAGAUCCAUCUUUACUCAAUAGUCGUACGACCAUCAAGUAGUUCUUCCAAAGUCUACAUGGAUCCUCUCUCGGAUUUCAUGGCUUCCAGCCAUUUGUCGGAAUCCGGGCCCACCAUCGCUUCUCCAUAGCUCGUAGGUUCAUUGUUGUUCAAGAACAUGAUCUCCAAGACAGGGUUACCGUACCACUCUAUAGUAGUACGCGGCCUUGUCGACCUACGAGGUUUGUAGUAACUUGAUCUCAAGCUCUAAUGAUCACCAUCAUCAGUUUCCACUUCAAUUGGUGUAGGCGCCACAGGAACAUCUUCCCGCGCCCUGCUACACACUGGUUGAAGUGACGGUUCACUAACCUCAUCAAGUUCCACCACCCUCCCACUCAAUUAUUUCGAGAGAAACCUUUCCUCGAGAAAGGACCCGUUCCUAGAAACAAACACAUUGCUUCCGGAUCUGAGAUAGGAGAAGUAUCCAACUGUUUUGGAUAUCCUAUGAAGAUGCUAUUAUCCGUUUUUGGGUUCGAGCUUAUCAGACUGAAACUUUUUCACAUAAGCGUUGCAGACCCAAACUUUUAAGAAACGACAACUUAGGUUUCUCCAAACCAUAGUCUAUACUGUGUCAUCUCAACGGAAAUACGAUGUGCCCUAUUUAAAGUGAAUGCGGUUGUCUCUAAUGCAUAACCCAUAAACGAUAGUGGCAAUUCAAUAAGAGACAUCAUAGUAUGCACCAUAUCUAAUAGGGCGUGUCUAUGACGUUCAGACACAUCAUCACACUGGUGUUCCAGGUGGCAUGAACUGCGAAACAAUUUUCACAUUGUCUUAACUGCGUACCAAAAACUCGUAACUCAGAUAUUCAUCUCUAUGAUCAUAUCGUAGACAAUUUAUCCUCUUGUCACGACGAUCUUCACUCUGAAAUAGCUUUGAACUUUUUAGUAUUUUAGACUUGUGAUUCAUCAAGUAAAUACUCGUGUAUCUACUCAAAUCGUCAGUGAAGUAAGAACAUAACGAUAUCCACUGCGUGCCUCAGCACUUAUUGGACUGCACACAUCAAAAAUGUAUUACUCCCAACAAGUUACUCUCUUGUUUCAUGUGGCAUGAUUUGCAUGUCUCAAGUGAUUCAAAAUAAAGUGAAUCCAAACGAUCCAUCCGCAUGGAGUUUCAUCAUGCGUUUUAUACCAACAUGACUCAAGUGGCAGUGCCAGAACUAAGUGGUACUAUCAUUAUUACUUUGUAUCUUUUGGCACCAAUAUUAUGAACAUGUGUAACACUACGAUCGAGAUUCAAUAAACCAUUGAGGGUAAUUAUUCAAGCAAACAGAAUAACUAUUAUUCUCUUUAAAUGAAUAAUUGUAUUGCAAUAAACACGAUCCAAUCAUGUUCAUGGUCAACGCAAACACCAAAUAACAAUUAUUUAGGUUUUACCACCAAUCCCGAUGAUAGAGGGAGCGUGCGAUGUUUGAUCACAUCAACCUUGGAAACACUUCCAACACGUAUCGUCACCUCGCCUUUAGCUAGUCUCCGUUUAUACCGUAGCUUUCAUUUCGAGUUACUAAUCACUUAGCAACUGAACUGGUAUCCAAUACCCUCGUGCUACUAGGAGUACUAGUAAAGUACACAUCAAUAUCACGUAUAUCAAAUAUACUUAUGUCGACUUUGCCAGCCUUCUUAUCUACCAUGUAUCUAGGGUAGCUACGCCUCAGUGACCAUUCCCCUCAUAACAGAAGCACUUAGUCACGGGUUUGGGUUCAAUUUUGGGUUUCUUCAUUAGAGCAGCAACUGGUUUGCUGUUUCAUGAAGUAUCCCUUCUAGCCCUUGCCCUUCUCGAAACUAGUGGUUUUACUAACCAUCAACAAUUGAUGUUCCUUCUCGAUUUCUACUUUCGCAGUGUCAAACAUUGCAAAUCACUCAAGGAUCAUUAUAUCUAUCCUUGAUUUGUUUAUAGUUCAUCACGAAGCUCUAGCAGCUUAGUGGCAAUGACUUUGGAGAACCAUCACUAUCUCAUCUGGAAGAUUAACUCCCACUUGAUUCAAGCGAUUGUUGUACUCAGACAAUCUGAGAACAUGCUCAAUGAUUUGAGCUUUUCCCCUUAACUUUGUAGGCAAAGAAUCUUGUCGGAGGUCUUAUACCUCACAACAAGGGCACGAGCAUGAAAUCUCAAUUUCAUCUCUUUGAACAUCUCUUAUGUUCUGCGACAUUUUCAAAACGUCUUCGGCGCAUUUGCUUCUAAGCCAUUAAGUAUUGUGCACUAAACUAUAAUGUAGUCAUCAAAGACGUGUAUGUCAGAUGUUCACAACAUCCACAGACGACGCCCGAGGUGCAGCAAACCGAGUGGUGCAUUAAGGACAUAAGCCUUCUGCGUAGCAAUGAGGACAAUCCUCAGUUUUACAGACUCAGUUCGCAAAGUUGCUACAAUCAACUUUCAACUAAAUUUUCUCUAGGAACAUAUAAAAACAGUAGAGCUAUAGCGCAAGCUACAUCGUAAUUUGCAAAGACCAUUAGACUAUGUUCAUGAUAAUUAGUUCAAUUAAUGAUAUUACUUAAGAACUCUCACUCAAAAAGUACAUCUCUCUAGUCAUUUGAGUGGUACAUGAUCCAAAUCCACUAUCUCAAGUCCGAUCAUCACGUGAGUCGAGAAUAGUUUGAGUGGUAAGCAUCUCUAUGCUAAUCAUAUCAACUAUAUGAUUCAUGCUCAACCUUUCGAUCUCUUGUGUUCCGAGGCCAUGUCUGCACAUGCUAGGCUCGUCAAGUUUAACCCGAGUGUUCCGCGUGUGCAACUAUUUUGCACCCGUUGUAUGUGAACGGUGAGUCUAUCACACCCGAUCAUCACGUGGUGUCUCGAAACGAUGAACUGUAGCAACAGUGCAUAGUCGGGGAGAACACAAUUUCGUCUUGAAAUUUUAGUGAGAGAUCACCUCAUAAUGCUACCGUCGUUCUAAGCAAAAUAAGGUGCAUAAAAGGAUUAACAUCACAUGCAAUUCAUAAGUGACAUGAUAUGGCCAUCAUCAUGUGCUUCUUGAUCUCCAUCACCAAAGCACCGGCAUGAUCUUCUUGUCACCGGCGCCACACCAUGAUCUCCAUCAUCAUGAUCUCCAUCAACGUGUCGCCAUAGGGGUUUUCAUGCUACUUAUGCUAUUACUACUAAAGCUACUUCCUAGCAAUAUAGUAAACACAUCUUCAAACACAAACGUUAGUUUAAAGACAACCCUAUGGCUCCUGCCGGUUGCCGUACCAUCGACGUGCAAGUCGAUAUUAACUAUUACAACAUGAUCAUCUCAUACAUCCAAUAUAUCACAUCACGUCGUUGGCCAUAUCACAUCACAAGCAUACCCUGCAAAAACAAGUUAGACGUCCUCUAAUUGUUGUUGCAUGUUUUACGUGGUUGCCAUGGGUAUCUAGUAGGAUCGCAUCUUACUUAUGAAAACACCACAACGGAGAUGUAUGAAUUGCUAUUUAACCUCUCUCCAAGGACCUCCUCGGUCAAAUCCGAUUCAACUAAAGUUGGAGAAACCGACACUCGCCAGUCAUCUUUGAGCAACGGGGUUGCUCGUAGCCAUGAAACCAGUCUCUCGUAAGCGUACGAGUAAUGUCGGUCCGAGCCGUUUCGAUCCAACAAUACCGCGGAACGAAGAAAAGACUAAGGAGGGCAGCAAAUUGCACAUCACCGCCCACAAAAACUUUUGUGUUCUACUGGAGAUAACAUCUACGCAUGAACCUAGCUCAUGAUGCCACUGAUGGGGAACGUCGCAUUGGAAACAAAAAAUUUCCUACGCGCACGAAGACCUAUCAUGGUGAUGUCCAUCUACGAGAGGAGAUUUGGAUCUACGUACCCUUGUAGAUCGCACAACAGGAAGCGUUAAGAAACGCGGUUGAUGUAGUGGAACGUCCUCACGUCCCUCGAUCCGCCCCGCGAACCAUCCCACGAACCGUCCCGCGAUCCGUCCCACGAUCCGCUCCGAUCUAGUGCCGAACGGACGGCACCUCCGCGUUCAGCACACGUACAGCUCGAUGAUGAUCUCCACCUUCUUGAUCCAGCAAGAGGGGGCGGAGAGGUAGAAGAGUUCUCCGGCAGCGUGACGACGCUCCAGUGGUGGUGAAGGAUCUACUCCUGCAGGGCUCCGCCCGUGCUCCGCAGAAACACGAUCUAGAGGAAAAACUGCGUGGUAUAGGGUCGAGCAGCACGUGGCAAAGUUGUCUCUCAAAAACCCUCAAUACCUCUAGUAUAUAUAGGAGGGAGGGAGGGGAGGAGGAAGCCUCAAACCCUCAAGGUUUGGCCGAAAUUGGAGGUGGAGGAGUCUUACUCCAAUCCUACUUGGAGUAGGAUUCCACCUUCCCACUUGGAAACUCUUUCCACCUUGUGUUUUCUCCUUCUCAAACCUUAUGGGCCUUAGUGGAAACUUAUUCUAGCCCACUAGGGGCUGGUUUAUCUCUUCCCAUAGCCCAUGAGACCACUUGGGGCGUUACACUCCUCCCGAUGGUCCCCGGCACCCCUCCCGGCACUCCCGGUACACUACCGAUGAGCCCAAAACUUUUCCGGUGACCAAAACAGGACUUCCUAUAUAUCAAUCUUUACCUCCGGACCAUUCCGGAGCUCCCCGUGACGUCCUGAAUAUCAUCUGGGAAUCCGAACUACUUUCGGUUACCAACACCUAUAACUCAACUAUACCAAAACGUCACCGAACCUUAAGUGUGCAGACCCUGCGGGUUCGAGAACUAUGUAGACAUGACCCGAGACACUCCUCGGUCAAUAUCCAAUAGCGGGACCUGGAUGCCCAUAUUGGAUCCUACAUAUUCUCUGAAGAUCUUAUCGGUUGAACCUCAGUGUCAAGGAUUCAUAUAAUCCCGUAUGUCAUUCCCUUUGUCCUUCAGUAUGUUACUUGCCCGAGAUUUGAUCGUCUGUAUCCGCAUACCUAUUUCAAUCUCGUUACCGGCAAGUCUCUUUACUCGUUCCGUAAUACAAGAUCCCGUGACUUACACUUAGUCACAUUGCUUGCAAGGCUUGUGUGUGAUGUUGUAUUACCGAGUGGGCCCCGAGAUACCUCUCCGUCACACGGAGUGACAAAUCCCAGUCUUGAUCCAUACUAACUCAACGGACACAUUUGGAGAUACCUGUAGAGUACCUUUAUAGUCACCCAGUUACGUUGUGACGUUUGAUGCACACAAGGUAUUCCUCCGGUGUCAGUGAGUUACAUGAUCACAUGGUCAUAGGAAUGAAUAUAUGACACACAGAAAAAAAUAUCAACAAAAUGACACGAUCACAUGCUACAUUUAUAGUUUGGGUCUUGUCCAUCACAUGAUUCUCCUAAUGAUGUGAUCCCGUUAUCAAGUGACAACACUUUCCUAUGGCCAGGAAACCUUGAUCAUCUUUGACCAGCAAACUAGUCAACUAGAGGCUCACUAGGGACAAUGUGUUGUCUAUGUAUCCAGACAUGUAUUUGAGUUUCCAAUCAAUACAAUUCUAGCAUGGAUAUUAAACGAUUAAUAUGAACAAGGAAAUAUAAUAAUAACUAAUUCAUUAUUGCCUCUAGGGCAUAGUUCCAACACAAACUUCACAUCUACCAUCUCUUCAACUUUUUGAGUGAAGUUGUUGUAGACAUGGUAAGCGUGAGAGUUUGAUUCGUAACCAAGAAGGAAACCUUCAUAAGAUUUAGGUGCAAAUUUAGAACGAUGAUGCUUAUCAAGAAUAUAGCACUUAGAGCCGAAUACCCGAAAGUAUCCAACUUGGGGUUUGUUACCAGUGAGUAGCUCGUAUGCCAUUUUACCGAGAAGCUUGUGCAGGUAGAGUCGGUUUAUGGAAUGGCAAGCUGUUUCCACUGCUUCUACCCAAAAGUGACUUGGAGUCUUGUAUUCGUCAAACAUUGUUCUCGCCAUCUCUAUGAGCGUCCGGUUCUUCCUCUCAACAACUCCAUUUUGUUGAGGUGUGUACGUCACCAAUAACUCAUGUAAGAUAACUUCUUCAUCAAAAGAAGUAUCCACAUUAGUGUUCUUGAACUCCGUUUCGUUGUCGCUCCGAACCUUCUUGAUCUUCACUUCAAACUGGUUUUAAGAUUUCCGAGCAAAGUUCUUGAAGAUCAUUUGUACCCGCGACUUAUCAUUGAGAAAGAACACCAACGUAAAUCUGGAAAAAUCAUCAACAAUGACUAGACCAUAAGAAUUUCCACCAAGACUCUUUUAAGCAUUGGGACCAAAGAGAUCCAUGUGAAGCAACUCGAGGGGUCUUCUUGUGGUCAUGAUGUUCUUCACGGGAUGACUUCCACCAACUUGCUUUCCUGCUUGACAAGCACUACAAAGUCUAUCUUUCUCAAAGAUAACAUCUUUAACGCCAAGAAUAUGAUCACCUUUGAUAAGUUUGUCAAGAUCACGCAUACCAACAUGUCCAAGCCUUCUAUGCCUUAACCAACCUUUAGAAUAUUUUGCGAUAAGGCAUGUACGGGGUUUGGAUAUCUUAGAGAAAUCACCAAUGUAUAGAUCACCUCUACGGAAACCAGUAAAGACGAUGCUAUGAUUGUCGCUAUGAAACACUCGAUAUUCAAUUUUUGUAAAUAGAACAUCGAAACCAAAGUUUGCUAGUCUAGAUACGGAAAGAAGAUUGUAGCCAAGGGAUUCAACAAGCAUGACAUUCUGAAUGGAACUGUCAUGAGAUACGACCACCUUACCAAGACCAAGUACCUUACCUUUGGACUUGUCUCCAAAAGUCACAUACUUCCGAGGUCCACGAUUUGGUGUAAUCUCAUGGAACAUAUCUUUAUCUCCGGUCAUGUGAUCGGUGCAUCCACUAUCGAGAACCCGCUCCUUUCCACUGGCCAUGUAGUCUUUAAGGUUAGCCAUAAGACUAAGGUUCCUCAUGGUCUUCUCAUAUCCGAUGUCAAGUGCUUCAUCUUCAUUGUAGUUGCCAUGCUCCACAUUGUCAUCAUCGGAUGAAGUUCCCUCAUCAUAAGAAAUAAGAAUUUCGUCAGAAAUUUGACUAUGACAAUGUUCAUGUUUAUGCAUUCGAAUGGCUUCAACAAUGAUAUUGUUAAUAGUAUUGACAUCUCCUUUAGCACGCAUGAGGUCACGAAGCUCAAAUAGGCAUUUAUCGAAGUUAGGAUCGGUUGGCUUCAUUUUGUGAAAAGCAAUGCAUUUGUGGAAUAUGAUAUCAAGAUUUUUCAAGGAAUAAUCUCGAUAUCUUUUCUCUAAGUCUUCCCACAAGGUAAGAGCACACUCAAAGUUUUGCAACUGAUUAAGCAGAUUUCUUGGUAAACCUCUAAUGAUAAGAUUGAUAGUGUUAAGGUUACCAAGCAUAUUAACUUCAUCAUCAUGAGAAGGAUGUAUGGGAUCAAUGAGAGGCGUAUAGGGUAUUCAACAUACUUGCGCAAAUGGAAUUCAUCAAAUAUAACAAGCAUUUCAUCUUUCCAUUGUCUANNNNNNNNNNNNNNNNNNNNNNNNNNNNNNNNNNNNNNNNNNNNNNNNNNNNNNNNNNNNNNNNNNNNNNNNNNNNNNNNNNNNNNNNNNNNNNNNNNNNNNNNNNNNNNNNNNNNNNNNNNNNNNNNNNNNNNNNNNNNNNNNNNNNNNNNNNNNNNNNNNNNNNNNNNNNNNNNNNNNNNNNNNNNNNNNNNNNNNNNNNNNNNNNNNNNNNNNNNNNNNNNNNNNNNNNNNNNNNNNNNNNNNNNNNNNNNNNNNNNNNNNNNNNNNNNNNNNNNNNNNNNNNNNNNNNNNNNNNNNNNNNNNNNNNNUCAUCUUUCCAUUGUCUAAAGUACUCCCCAUCAAGAAUAGGCACUCUACAACAAAAGAUCUGGGAACUAGUCACAUUCGUCUUCCUCCAAUGGCGGUUAAACCAAGGUUUUGGAGACCUUGCUCUGAUACCAAUUGAGGGAUCGAUAGAAGAUGUGUCUAGAGGGGGGGGGGGGGAAUAAACUACUUGUCAAGAUAAAAAAUUCUAGCCCNNNNNNNNNNNNNNNNNNNNNNNNNNNNNNNNNNNNNNNNNNNNNNNNNNNNNNNNNNNNNNNNNNNNNNNNNNNNNNNNNNNNNNNNNNNNNNNNNNNNNNNNNNNNNNNNNNNNNNNNNNNNNNNNNNNNNNNNNNNNNNNNNNNNNNNNNNNNNNNNNNNNNNNNNNNNNNNNNNNNNNNNNNNNNNNNNNNNNNNNNNNNNNNNNNNNNNNNNNNNNNNNNNNNNNNNNNNNNNNNNNNNNNNNNNNNNNNNNNNNNNNNNNNNNNNNNNNNNNNNNNNNNNNNNNNNNNNNNNNNNNNNNGAAUUUGGUAUUCGUUCGAUAAUUUGAUAUGUUGUAUGUUGUUUUUCCUCUAGUGGUGUUAUGUGAACGUCGACUACAUAACACUUCACCAUUAUUUGGGCCUAGAGGAAGACACUGGGAAGUAGUAAGUAGAUGAUGGGUUGCUAGAGUGACAGGAGCUUAAACCCUAGUUUAUGUGUUGCUUCGUAAGGGGCUGAUUUGGAUCCACUAGUUUAAUGUUAUGGUUAGACUUUGUCUUAAUUCUUCUUUCGUAGUUGCGGAUGCUUGUGAGAGGGGUUAAUCAUAAGUGGGAUGCUUGUCCAAGUAAGGGCAGUACCCAAGCGUUGGUCCACCCACAUAUCAAACUACCAAAGUAACGAACGCGAAUCAUAUGAACGUGAUGAAACUAGCAUGACAGAAAUUCCCGUGUGUCCUCGGGAGCGUUUUUCCUCCUAUAAGACUUUGUCUAGGUUUGUCCCUUGCUACAAAAGGGAUUGGGCCAUUUUGCUGCACCGUUGCUAAUUUUGUUACUUGUUGCUUGCUACGAAUCAUCUCACCACACAAUCACUUGUUACCGACAAUUUCAGUGCCUGCAGAUUGUACCUUGCUGAAAACCACUUGUCAGAUUCUUCUACUCCUCGUUGGGUUCGACAAUCUUACUUAUCGAAAGGACUACGAUUGGUCCCCAAUACUUGUGGGUCAUGAAGACUCUUUUCUGGCGCCGUUGCCAGGGAGUGAAGCGCCUUUGGUAAGUCGAACUUGGUAAGGAAACAUUCAUAUAGUGUGCUGAAAUUUGUUGUCAGUUGUCAUUAUGGAUACUAAUCCUUUGAGGGGCUUGUUCGGGGUAUCUUCUCCUUGAACGGAAGCACAAAUAGUUUCUCCUCAACCUGCUGCACAUACUGAAAAUAUUUGCUUUGAAUUUCCUUCGGUAUGCUUGAGAAACUACUGGCUAAUCCUUUUACAGGAGAUGGAACAUCACAUCCAGACUUCCAUCUAAUCUAUGUAGAUGAAGUUUGUGGUUUAUUUAAGCUUGCAGGUUUGCCCGAGGAUGGGGUCAAUAAGAAGGUCUUUCCUUUAUCUUUGAAGGAUAAGGCAUUGACAUGGUAUAGGCUAUGUGAUGAUACUGGAUCAUGGAACUACAAUCGGUUGAAAUUGGAAUUUCAUCAAAAGUUUUAUCCUAUGCAUUUAGUACAUCGUGAUCGGAAUUAUAUUUACAAUUUUUGGCCUUGUGAUAGAGAAAGCUUGGGGGAGGCUUAAAUCAAUGCUAUAUUCAUGCCCCAAUCAUGAGCUCUCGAGAGAAAUUAUCAUUCAGAACUUCUAUGCUCGGCUUUCUCAUGAUGAUCGCACCAUGCUUGACACUUCUUGUACCGGUUCUUUUAUGAAGAGAGAUAUUGAAUUCAAAUGGAAUUUAUUGGAGAGAAUUAAACGCAACUAUGAAGAUUGGGAGCUUGAAGAAGGUAAGGAGUCAGGUAUGAAUUUCACGUUUGAUUGCGUUAAAUCCUUUGUUGAGACAAAUACUUUUUGUGACUUUAGCGCUAAGUAUGGACUUGACUCUAAGAUAGUAGCUUCAUUGUGUGAAUCCUUUGCUGCUCAUAUUGAUCUCCCCAAAGAGAAGUUCUUUAAAUAUCAUCCUCCUUUAGAAGUCAAUGUAGUUAAACCCACUCCAGUUGAACAGAAAGUCAUUGCCUAUAAAGAUCCUGUUGUUCCCAGUGCUUACAUUGAGAAACCACCUUUCCCUGUUAGGAUAAAGGAUCAUUCUAAAGCUUCAACUGUGAUACGUAGAGGCUAUAUUAGAACACCUACACCCCCUAAGCAAAUUAGAGUUGAACCUAGCAUUGCUAUUAUCAAAGAUCUUCUGUCCGAUGAUGUUGAGGGACAUAAUAUUCACUUCUGUGAAGAUGCUGCUAGAAUUGCUAAACCUCACGCUAGAGACAAACAUAGGCCUGUUGUUGGCAUGCCUGUGGUUUCUGUUAAGAUAGGAGAUCAUUGUUACCAUGGUUUAUGUGACGUGGGUGCUAGUGUUAGUGCAAUACCUCAAUCUUUAUACAAUGAAAUCAAAGACGAGAUUGCACCUGUUGAGAUAGAGCCUAUUGAUGUCACUAUUCAGCUUGCCCAUAGAGAUACUAUCUGCCCUGUUGGAAUUGUUAGGGAUGUUGAAGUCUUGUGUGGUAAAACAAAGUAUCCUGCUGAUUUCCUCGUUCUUGCUACUGCACAAGAUAGCUUUUGUCCCAUCAUAUUUGGUAGAUCCUUCCUCAAUACCGUCAAUGCUCAUAUUGAUUGUGAGAAGCAAACUGUCACUGUUGGCUUUGAAGGUGUGUCACACGAGUUCAUUUUCUCUAAGUUUGGUAGACAACCUCAUGAAAAGGAGUUGCCUAGUAAGGAUGAAACUAUUUCCUUAGCUUCUAUUGCCGUGCCUCCUACUGAUCCCUUAGAGCAAUACUUGCUUGAGCAUGAAAAUGAUAUGAAUAUGGAUGAAAGGGAUGAAAUAGAUAGAGUUGUCUUAGAACAAUAUCCUAUCCUUAUGAAUAACUUGCCUGUUGAACUGCUUGGGGAUCCACCCCCACCAAAGGGUGAUCCUGUGUUCGAGCUCAAACAAUUGCCUGAUACGCUUAAGUAUGCCUAUCUUGAUGAGAAGGAGAUAUAUCCUGUCAUUAUUAGUGCUAGCCUCUCAGAGCAUGAAGAAAAGAAGUUGCUAAAAACUCUGAGGAAGCACCGUGCUGCUAUUGGAUAUACUCUUGAUGAUCUUAAGGGCAUUAGUCCCACUCUAUGCCAACACAAGAUUAAAACUGAUCCUGAUUUCAAACCAGUUGCUGAUCAUCAAAGGAGAUUGAAACCUAAGAUGAAAGAAGUAGUAAGAAAAGAAAUACUAAAGCUCCUGGAAGCGGGUAUUAUCUAUCCUGUUGCUCAUUGCGAUUGGGUGAGUCCGAUGCAUUGCAUCCCUAAGAAGGGAGGCAUUACCGUUGUCGCUAAUGAUAAGGAUGAAUUGACCCCACAGAGGAUUAUUACUGGCUAUAGGAUGGUGAUCGAUUUUAGGAAAUUGAAUAAAGCCACUAGGAAAGAUCAUUACCCUUUGCCUUUUAUCGACCAAAUGCUAGAAAGACUGUCUAAACACACACAUUUCUGCUUUCUAUACGGUUAUUCUGGUUUCUCCCAAAUACCAGUUGCACAAUCUAAUCAGGAGAAAACCACUUUCACCUGCCCUUUCGGUACCUUUGCUUAUAGACGUAUGACUUUGGGCUUAUAUAAUGCACCUGUCACCUUUCAAAGAUGUAUGAUGGCUAUAUUCUCUGACUUUUGUGAAAAGAUUGUUGAGGUUUUCAUGGAUGACUUCUCCGUUUAUGGGUCUUCCUUUGAUGAUUGCCUUAGCAACCUUGAUCGAGUCUUGCAGAGAUGUGAAGAUACCAAUAUUGUCUUGAAUUGGGAGAAGUGCCACUUUAUGGUUAAUGAAGGCAUCGUCUUAGGACAUAAAAUUUCUUAAAGAGGUAUUGAAGUUGAUAAGGCUAAGGUUGAUGCAAUCGAGAAAAGGCCAUACCCCACAGAUAUCAAAGGUAUAAGAAGUUUCCUCGGUCACGCUAGUUUCUAUAGAAGGUUCAUCAAAGACUUAUCUAAGAUUUCUAGGCGUCUUACCAAUCUCUUACAAAAGGACAUUCCUUUUGUUUUUGACGAUGAUUGUGAGGAAGCCUUCGAAAUACUUAAGAGGGCUUUGAUAACUGCACCUAUUGUUCAACCACCUGAUUGGAACCUACCUUUUGAGAUCAUGUGUGAUGCUAGCGAUUAUGCUGUUGGUGCUAUUCUAGGGCAAAGAUUCGAUAAGAAGUUGAAUGUUAUUCAAUACGCUAGUAAAACUCUAGACAGUGCCCAGAGAAACUAUGCUACUACGGAGAAGGAAUUUUUAGCAGUCGUGUUUGCUUGUGAAAAGUUCAGGUCUUACAUAGUUGAUUCCAAAGUCACUAUUCACACUGAUCAUGCUGCUAUUAAGUACCUCAUGGAGAAGAAGGACGCUAAACGUAGACUUAUCAGAUGGGUUCUCUUGCUACUAGAAUUUGAUUUGCACGUUGUUGACAGGAAGGGUGCUGAUAACCCAGUAGCAGAUAACUUGUCUAGGUUGGAGAACGUUCUUGAUGACCCACAACCUAUUGAUGAUAGCUUUCCUGAUGAGCAAUUGAAUAUCAUCAAUGCUUCACGUAGUGCAUCGUGGUAUGCUGAUUAUGCAAACUAUAUCGUUGCCAAAUACAUACCACCUAGUUUCACGUGCCAGCAAAAGAAGAAAUUCUUCUUUGACUUGAGACAUUACUUUUGGGAUGAUCCUCACCUUUAUAGGAAGGAGUAGAUGGUGUUAUUAGAAGUUGUGUACCUGAACAUGAACAGGGACAGAUCCUACAGAAGUGUCACUCCGAGGCCUACGGAGGACACCAUGCAGGAUAUAGAACUGCACACAAGGUAUUGCAAUCAGGUUUCUAUUGGCCCACUCUCUUCAAGGAUGCCCGUAAGUUUGUCUUGUCUUGUGACGAAUGUCAAAGAAAAGGUAAUAUUAGCAAACGUCAGGAAAUGCCUAUGAACUAUUCACUUGUCAUUGAACCAUUUGAUGUCUGGGGUUUUGAUUUUAUGGGACCUUUUCCAAAAUCCAACGGGUAUACUCAUAUCCUAGUUGUUGUUGAUUACAUCACUAAGUGGGUAGAAGCUAUCCCCACUAGUAGUGCUGAUCACAACACCUCUAUCAGGAUGCUGAAAGAAGUUAUCUUCCCUAGAUUUGGAGUCCCUAGAUAUCUAAUGACCGACGGUGGUUCACACUUCAUUCAUGGUGCUUUUUGUAAAACGCUUUCUAAGUAUGAUGUCAACCAUAGAAUUGCGUCUCCCUAUCACCCUUAGUCCAGUGGUCAAGUAGAGCUAAGUAAUAGAGAGAUUAAACUGAUUCUGCAAAAGACUAUCAACAGGUCUAGAAAUAAUUGGUCUAAGAAGCUCGAUGAUGCACUGUGGGCUUAUAGAACUGCCUAUAAGAAUCCCAUGGGCAUGUCUCCGUACAAAAUGGUGUACGAUAAAGCAUGUCAUCUACCUCUUGAGCUAGAGCAUAAAGCUUAUUGGCCAAUCAAAAAGCUCAACUUUGAUUUCAAACUUGCCGGUGAGAAGAGGUUAUUUGAUAUUAGCUCGCUUGAUGAAUGGAGAACUCAGGCAUAUGAGAAUGCCAAGUUGUUCAAAGAGAAGGUUAAGAGGUGGCGUGAUAAGAGGAUACAAAAGUGUGAGUUCAAUGUAGGUGAUUAUGUCUUGCUAUAUAACUCUAGUUUAAGAUUCUUUGCAGGCAAGCUUCUCUCUAAAUGGGAAGGCCCCUAUGUUGUUGAGGAAGUAUAUCGUUCCGGUGCUAUCAAGAUCAACAACACGGAAGGUAAUUGUCCGAGAGUGGUAAAUGGGCAGAGAAUCAAGCAUUAUAUCUUAGGUACUCCGAUAAAUGUUGAAAGCAAUAUUAUCAAUACCAUAACUCCGGAAGAAUACCUAAGGGAUAUUUAUCAGCCUAUUUCAGACUCCGAAAACGAAGAGGUAUGUGAUUCGGUAAGAAAACACAGUCCAAAACUUUUCCAGUAGGAAUUUUUUUCUGUUUUGGAAUAUUUGAAAAAAAUACAAAAAAUGGAAGUAGUCUCAAAAGGGCGCGAGGAGGCGACAAUCCUGCACGGCGCGGGCCCACCCCCGGCCGCGCCGUGAGGGCUUGUGGCCACCUCGUGCGCCUCCCGGACUCCGUUUUCAUGAGGGGUACUCCUUCUGGUCUCGAGAAAAUCAUUAUAUAUACUCCCGUUUGGUCUGACCCAUGCAUCACAUAGAUUUCCUCUGUUUUUCGUUUCGAGCGUGUUUCUGUUUUAGAUCUAGAUCGCUAUGACUUCCCCAAAAGCUCCGAAGGACAAGAUCUUCGAGAAGGUUACCAAUCCCUACCUCACGGGAGUGCUGCAACACCGUCAAUCUAUCGAGAUGCUUGAGGGGAUGUUGCACAUCUGUUAUGUUGAGGGGCCUAAGAAGACCGGAAGCAUGGAGACGAGGCUCGAAGCAAUGGAGCAACAAGUCUUCAAGUGCCAAGGGAUGGUGGAGCGUGGACUCAACGCCAACCACAUGAUGACCACAGAGUUCACCAGCAAGCACGGGAUUGAUGCCAAUGACAUUGGGAAGCAUCUCUCCAGGCUCUAUGACAGGAUUGAUCAACUCCAGGCCCAGAUCUAUGACCUGCAGAACCAAAACUGUGAGUAUGAGUAUAGAUUUAAAUCAAUACGGUUGGGUGCAGAUUUGAGGAUUCCGGAGACUCGUUCAUCUUUCCAUGAUGGAGCACCUAUGCCUUGGAAGACGAAGGAUCAAGCCCAUGUUGCAACAACACCACCAUCACCACCAAAGGAAGACAACUGAGCAUUGGUAUGGGCAAUCCCCUUGGCUUGUGCCAAGCUUGGGAGAGUUGCCCCGGUAUCGUAUCACCAUCACAUCUUUUGCCUUUACCUUUGUUUUAGUUUUCCUUUUCAGUUUUCUCUUUCUCUAGUAGAUUAAAAGUCUUAGUGUUUUAGUCUUGAGUUUAUCUUUGUGUGACCCCCGAUGUAUUCGAGCUCGUGAGCCAUAUAAUAAAGAGUGUCUUAGUUGAAGGGCUUUGCCUCUUGCCAUGAUCAAAAGAGUGAGAAUAGAACAAAAGCAUGAAAGAUCAUGUAAUGAUCUUAUGGGAAGUGAUGGCUUCACACAUAAAAAGAAUGUGGAUUGAAACUUGUUGAGGGUACGCAAACGUAGACCUUGGUCAUUGUUGCAAUUAAUAGGAAGUGAUAAAGAAGGAGAGGUUCACAUACAAAUAUAUCAUCUCUGACACCAUCUAUGAUUGUGAACACUCACUAAAGUAUUGCAUGCCUAGAAGUUGAUGUUGGACAAGGAAGACAACAUAAUGAAUUGUGUUUGCUUGGCUCUGAACAAUGUUAUAUGAUGAGAGAUCCCUUAGCAUGUGACGAUUGCUUCCACCUCACAUUAGCCAAACCUCCCGCACCAAGUAGAGAUACUACUUGUGCAUCCAUAAACCUUCAACCCAGUUUUGCCAUGAGUGUCCACCAUACCUACCUAUGGAUUUAAUAAGAUCCCUCAAGUAAGUUGUCAUCGGUACAAGCAAGAAAAAUUACUCUUUAAUAUGUAUGAUCUAUUAGUGUGUGGCAAAUAAGCUUUAUACGAACCUGUGAUGGGGAAGACAUAAAAGCGACAGACUGCAUAAUAAAGUUCUUUAUCACUUGAGGCAAUAUAUAGUGACGUUCCUCCGCACUAAGAGGACACACAUCCAAACCUCAAAAGCGCAUGACAACCUCUGCUUCCCUCUGCGAAGGGCCUAUCUUGUACCUUUACUUUUUGUCCUUGAAAGAGUCAUGGUGAUCUUCACCAAUUCCUUAUUUCGCCUUUGUCUUGGCUAACACCAUAUGCUUGGGAAAGAUCUAUAUUCAUAUGUCAACUUGUAGGUAAUUAUUCUUGAAUUAUUAUUAUUGACAUUACCCUUGAGGUAAGCAGUUGGGAGGCAAAACUGUAAGCCCUUAUCUUUCUCUGUGUCCAGCUGAAACUUUGAUCUCAUGAGUACCAUGUGAGUUGUAGCAAUUGUAGAGAACGAAAGAAUGAUUGAGUAUGUGGAUUUGCUUUACAAGCUCUUAUUUGACUCUUUCUGAUGUUGUGAUAAAUUGCAAUGGCUUCAAUGACUAAAGGCUAUCGGUUGUUACUUCUCGGUAAGGUUCUUGAUCCAUGCUUUACUUUGUGAAGGAAUUAUCACUUUAGCAUGAGAGAUUAUAUGUUAGUAUUGCUGUUCUGAUCAUGAUCAUGAUGCAUGCAUGUUCGUAUCUUGUUUUGUCGACACCUCUCUCCCUACACAUGUGGACAUAUUUAUUGAGCUAGGCUUUCGAUUGAGGACGAGCGAGGUCUAAGCUUGGGGGAGUUGAUACGUCCAUUUUGCAUCAUGUUUUCAUGUUAAUAUUUAUCGCUUCUUGGGCUGUUAUUUCACUUCACGGUACAAUUCUUAUGCCUUUUCUCUCUUAUUUUGCAAGGUUUACAUGAAGAGGGAGAAAGCCGACAGCUGGAAUUCUGGCCUGAAAGUGGAGCAAAGUUGAGAUACCUAUUCUGCGCAACUCCAAACGCCGUAAAAAUCAACAAGGAUUUUUUCCUGAUUUAUAAAAAAUACUGGGCCGAAGAAGCGCCAGAGGGGCACCAAGGGUUGGCCACAAGCCUGCACGGCGCGGCCACCCCCAGGCCGCGUCAUGAGGGCUUGUGGGCAACCUGCUGGCCCACUGCCCCCCCUCUUCUUCUAUAUGAAGGGCUUCGCCUGGAAAAAAAUCAGGGAGGAGCUUUAUCGUGGAUUCGCCGCCACCACGAGGCGGAACUUGAGCAGAACCAAUCUAGAGCUCUGGCAGAACGAUCUUGCCGGGGAAACUUCCCUCCCGGAGGGGGAAAUCGUCACCAUCGUCAUCACCAACACUCCUCUCAUCGGAGGGGACUCUUCACCAUCAACAUCUUCAUGAACACCAUCUCAUCUCCAAACCCUAGUUCAUCACUUGUAACCAAUCUCCGUCUCGCGACUCCGAUUGGAACUUGUAAGGUUGCUAGUAGUGUUNGAAUUUGGUAUUCGUUCGGUAAUUUUAUAUGUUGUAUGUUGUUUUUCCUCUAGUGGUUUUAUGUGAACGUCGACUACAUAACAUUUCACCAUUAUUUGGGCCUAGAGGAAGGCAUUGGGAAGUAGUAAGUAGAUGAUGGGUUGCUAGUGACAUAAGCUUAAACCCUAGUUUAUGCGUUGCUUCGUAAGGGGCUGAUUUGGAUCCACUAAUUUAAUGCUAUGGUUAGACUUUGUCUCAAUUCUUCUUUCGUAGUUGCGGAUGCUUGCAAGAGGGGUUAAUCAUAAGUGGGAUGCUUGUCCAAGUAAGGGCAGUACCCAAGCGCUGGUCCACCCACAUAUCAAACUAUAAAAGUAACGAACGCGAAUCAUAUGAACAUGAUGAAACUAGCAUGAUUGAAAUUCCCGCGUGUUCUCGGGAGUGUUUUUCCUCCUAUAAUACUUUGUCCAGGCUUGUCCCUUGCUACAAAAGGGAUUGGGCCACUUUGCUACACCUUUGCUACUUUUGUUCCUUGUUGCUUGCUACGAAUCAUCUCACCACACAAUCAUUUGUUACUGACAAUUUCAGUGCGUGCAGAUUUUACCUUGUUGGAAACCACUUGUCAAAUCCUUCUGCUCCUCGUUGGUUCGACACUCUUACUUAUCAAAAGGACUACAAUUGAUCCCCUAUACUUGUGGGUCAUCAGUCAUGUAGCGGACAUAGCAUUUGUGGCAAAGCCACCGCACAUCCUGGUAUAUUUCCAGAGGCAUUCAUAUAGAGUCAUCUUGUAUAUUUUUUUCAUAUUGAGUUGUAAGUAAAUAAAAGUGUGAUGAUCAUCAUUAUUAGAGCGCUUUCCUAGUAAGGAAAGGAUGAUAGAGACUAUGAUUCCCCCACAAGUCGAUAUGAGACCCGAGACAAAAAAAAAUAAAAAAUGGGAGAAAAAAAAGGGAAACAAAAUAAAAAGAAAAAGAAAUAAAAAUGGGAGAAAAGAUAGAAGGGGCAGUGCUACUAUCUUUUUCCACACUUGUUCUUAGAGGGAGCACCAUGUUCUUCAUAUAGGGAGUCUCUUGAGUUGUUAUUUUCAUAUGCUAGUGGGAAUUUUUCUUUAUAGAACUUGGAUGAAAAUGGCCGAGGUCUUCAUGAGCAAGCAAGUUGGAUGCACACCCACUUAGCUUCUGUUGAGAUUUCAUACACUUAUAGCUCUAGUGCAUCCUUGCAUGGAAAGCCCUACUCCUCACGUCGACAUUGAUUGAUGGGCAUCUUCAUAGCCCAUUGGUCCGUCUAGUUGAUGUGAGACUUUCUUUCCACUUUGACUCCUUUUGAUCUCUACCACCAUAUUAUGUUCCACCCAUAUGCCAUAUCCAUGAUUCACGCUCAUGUAUUGAGCGAGGUUGAAAAUGUUGAAGCGUGUUAGAAGUACGAUCUAAUUGCCUGACUUGACACCGAGGUGCUCAUGUUUUAUACUAAUGUGGUGAGGGCGGGGUCAUGCCAUGCUAAUAUGAUAAAAUGAGUAGCGAAUAACUUUCUUGAAGGAUCGUAUAUUUUGAAUAUGAAUGAUUAUGAUUAUUAUAUUUAUGGAUAUCAUUAUUUUGAUAUCAAUUAGUUCAUCGUUUCUUAAGAUCAUACCUAAAGGAUAUUACAUGUUGGGUAGCAUGUCACAUCAAAAAUUGUGUUUUUAUCAUUUACCUACUCGAGGACGAACUGGAGUUAAGCUUGGGGAUGCUGAUACGUCGCCAACGUAUCAAUAAUUUUUUAUUGUUCUAUGCUAUUAUAUUAUAAAUCUUUGAUGCUUUAUAUCCAAUUAUAUGCUAUUUUAUAUUUUUUGGAACUAACCUAUUAACUCAGUGCCAAGUUCUAGUUGGUGUUUUCUAGUUGUUUUUUGGAACUAACCUAUUACAGCAAAUCAGUACCAAUCGAUGUAACACCCUCUCGUUAGCUUUCCCGACUAAAUAACUUAUUUCAAAAAUUAGGACCAAUUAAUUUUUUUUGUGAAUGAUUGUGAUGCUUGUGGUGACUAUUGUUUGCUUGCUUGCUCGUAUGGUUCUGUUGAAUUUUCCAUAAUUCCUGUUACUCUCUAGACUCAGUUCUUUAACUCAAAACUCAUGCCUAAUGACCAUGCCACAUGUUUAGGACCAAAAACUAUUUCUACCAAAUAUUAUUUUCACCAAAAUGCAUUUCUUUGAAUUAAGCCUUCAAAACCCCUCAGAUGAGGUUUGUACUACAAGUCCUCAAAUUAGGGAAUUUAUUCUACACCAAUUAUUUUAUUUGAAACCCAUUAUCAAAAUGACUUCCCAAAACAACCAUAUUAUCAUUUUAAAAGUUAUUUUACUAAUUUAUUUAAAUGCCUUCCUGUGAGGCCAGAAAUGGUCUCUUAUGAAGGAAAGUUAUUUUUAUUGCUUUCAAAAUAUUUAAGAAAAUUUAGGGAAACUCAGUAGACAUAUUAUUUCCAUAUAUAUGAGUUUCAACAUACGGUCAUGUUCAAAAUAUUGGGCCAACCCCUUCAAAACCCUUCCUGCCUAUUUCAAUAUUUUGGAAUAUUUCUAUAAUAAUUAUUCUCAAUAAAUUCCAGUAAAAUUUCAGCAUGUCACCUAUGAUAUUUUUGAUGAUCUUGCCAAGUUUCAUCUCAAUCCAAGUUGAUUUGACUCCCGUAAUUAUUCUAAAACCCUAUCUGUCGAGAUCCAAAUUUGAGCAACUCUACAUUGUCAAUUAUCUCCAAAUGUGCUGAAAUUUGGUAGACAUGUUCUGAUACUCCAAUAAUGCAUCCACACCAAGUGGUUCAUCAAGGAGAAUAGAAUAACUUGUCCCAAGCCCCUCAAAACCCUCUCUGUUGAUUUCUGACUUUGGGAAACUUUACAUUAUAAAGUUUCUCCAAUUGACCCCAAACUUUUUGUGCAUGCCUUAAUGCUCAAAUAAUGCCCCAUUAUUAGAUUUGUGGGAAUAUAUUUGGAUGGAUUUGUAAGCCGAAAGCCAUUUCUGCCAAUUCAUGGGUUUUCCAAGUCUACAUUGGAAACCUUGUCCACAAAAUCGCAAAUUUGGUGUCCAAGCUUAUUCUUAUCUAUUAUUUGAUCCUGUUAAGUUUCAUAUCCAUUGAAGUCCAUCUGGUUCCUGUGCCACUCAUCAAACACCUUGUGUGCAUUCACUUUAUUGACUACUUUGGCCCCUUCCACUUUAACCCUUGAGCUCAACUUUCUACCACAGCUUCAUAUAGUUACAUUUUACCUCGAGUAACAUUUCCAUGGCCACUGGUCAAUUAUUGGAGAGAGGCUCCAUGUAACUAUUCCGCAUUUUUACCCUUGGAAUCACUAUUUUACCCCUCUUUCCCCACUUAUGUUUAAGCCAAAGCCCCCACCUCUUGCCAGAGGGUUCCUAGCAUCCCAGGGCAUUGUUUCAACCCAAGAGAUGGCAUGCUCAUAUGGAGAAAAUGAGCAACACUGAGCGAUCUGUGUUUUCGAUGAGCGUUGAUCUCUGGGAUCACUGAGGACGUUCAUUUGGCGAUCUCGACUCGUAAGUCGGGGUCCCCACAGAGCUGGUAUCAGAGCCAUCCUGACUAUAGGAAGCCUUAUUUAGCACGGACGUUAGUUAGGAUGAAACUGCUUUCCAGACCUUUCAAAAGUACUUGCAAACGUAUAUAUUUUCUCGCCUCUCCUAAAUCUUCAAAGAAAAUGAAGGAUAUACUUUAGCCUUCCACCCUUAUUCUAUGACACUCCUCGCCUACGUUUUCAAAAACAUGCAAAUGGUCGCUAGCACCCUUAUGCCCUCUGACCACGAGAUUAUUAGAAAUCCUCGUGGACAACUUGGAAGAAAGUAACCUUUCAAGACAAUCACCCCUGUGCUGAAGGACAAAGAUGACAACUCUAUGACCAGACGACACCAACAGAAGUACCUCCAUGAGGAACAAGGACAUAGAGGCCCCUAAGAUGGUGACACCCUCAGCACUGUUCCAGUGUGAUGCCACUUUCACCUACGAUAAUUUGGACGUAAUAUAUGCAAGGCCAUGAUGUGCAUCGCUAAUAGAGCGACCUUGUCAAUAAUGAGGAUAGUGUCGACCACCACGGUGGAUGAGAACCUCGCCAUUUGGUCCACAUCACCUUAGUGAGCAGGAAAACGGUUAUCUUCAUCCCCCGCUCUAGGUGUCGAUAUUGCAAUUAGUAUGAUUAACAGAUCAGAACUGUAUCAUGUCUUGCAAAUAUCAACGCAUGAAGAUGUCCACUUGAGUUUCUCGAAGCAUCAGAAGACAAGAAGACGAUGACAGGAUCAUGAAGACAACAGAAGACCCUGUCAAUGACAACAAUGAAGAACUACCUUCCUCAGCAACUCCCCAUACAAAAAGUCAUCAAUGAUACUUUCAACUCAACCAGAGAAGUUCGGUGAGCAACAACAUGAGACGUGGCAACACCCUGAGAAGGUCCAUGAGACUUAGCGGACUCAUCUCCGGAGCAUGAAGCAAGCACGACUGUCAGGUCCGAGAACCCUAGGGUAGGAUGAGUCGUCAAUCCCCUAUGCGAAGUCGAGUCCGUGAAAUGGUUCAGAUGGACUAUGUUGAGUGUUGGUUGUUUUGUUGUUUGUGCUUUGGUAUAAGUCGCACUUUUGCCUAAGCAACAAUCAUGCGGUUAUAUCACGUGUCUUAUUUUGAUGUUCGGAAUGAUUUUUGCACUUGUUUGAGUUGAAUUUCCAAUGCUUGUUUGAUUGCACUAAAACCCUUAGGCACUCCCCUCUAUGCUGCUCUCUCUCUUUCACCCCUCUCGACAACUGAAGACCAGCAGGACAAGAUGCACCAAGGAUCCACUUCGAAGGACGACUAACACUGAAGGCAAUGACUGUACUAUGCUUAACCACACAGAACCCGUAGUAGUUAUGAUUUUCCCUCAAGAUUGGAAAACCACACUAGAGCAGACUAACCUCCACAAGCCUUUCUGGCUCAAAUUUACUGGUCGCGUGUCUAGUACACGGACUCGCCAGAACACCUGUAGAUCCCCGAUAAACCCCGCUUAGCACCGGGUUCUUGAUGGAACUAAUGAUCACAGUGAACGAGUAUUCUUCAUUCUUAAAGCUAGCACCAUAACCCUGAUGCCAUAAGAAAGACGGUUCUCUGAUAUAAGAGUAUUAUACUAAAGAUUGUUGUAAUGAUGAUAUGUGUCUUGAGGAUAUAGCCAGACUAUCUUGGUGUACCGCAAUACCCUUAUAAAGUAGGUGAAUCUGGUGGAACAAGUUCAUAUAGUAUCAUAACCUACCUAUUCCUGGAGUACGUUUGGAUUCAGUAGGAUGAUUAUGAUCGCGAACAUUAAUUCUUGGUGGUAUAAUUGACUUUAUCAAGUAACUAACAUGGUUUGAUGAUUUUACCAUAAUGACUUGGAGUAUCGAGCAAGAGUUCUUAUUGGACUUGAGUUGGGAUUAAAUAGGUAGUUCCAAUAGACUAUUAAUGGUAUGCAAGGCCACAUGGUUUGGAGUAAAUUGCAUUUAGCCCGAUGAUCUUAAUCAUGAUACCAUGUUCCUCGGUGGAUAACAAGUGCGUACGCUUGGAGUUGUCGAAUUGGUUUUCGAGCCUAUGUGAACUGGCCUGGGACAUUAGAUGGCCAUGAUAUUGAAGUUGGUGGUUAUACUAUAACGUAAUCCUUGCAAUAAUAUGCGAAUUAUGAGGACUCUAAGAGAUUAUGUAGAACCCAUAAAUUUUGGAUUUGUAGGAGUGAUGGGUCCAGUCAUGAUUGAUCAGAUUGAUGGAUCACUUGAUCGGAUUCGUAGAAAGGAAACAAGAUAUUGGAUUGGUAUACUAUGUGUUUCCUUAAUAUAAUAAUGCAGUACCCUGUCCAUUGAAUGAUCUAGCUGGACAUUUGGAUUUGUGGUGUCUUAAAUUCAAUCUUAGGAGCUUGUAUGCCUCCCCGAGGUUCUUGCAUAGUAAUGCAUGUGCAUUGUAGCUACACCGUACUUGAAGUGUUUGGGUUUAGUUCUUCCCUCAACUCUGGAGUUGACUAACAUGAGCAGUGUGGAGUUGACCCAUGUGAGAUCGUAUCUUUGAUGAAAUAGGGUGAUGUCGUCCCGAGUUAGAGGUCGAACUAUUGGAAUCUAAGGAAUGUGCUUAGAGAUAAGAUGAUAACUGUUCGCCCACCUCCUAAGUUCCUUGAUACCGUAAAAGCUUCACCCAUCGCAUCUAUGAUGAACAUGGGCAUGAAGGACUAGGUCGUGUUGGACCACAAACCCCUCGGAGAGCGACCACCCAUAGCAAGUCCCCGUUCUCCUCACGUGACUCAUGAGAAUUGUGCUUAUGUCAUGUUUGGGGAAAGUAUGUUGUCAUCCUCACCGAUGACAUACUUAUUCACCCAGUAAGAGGAAGAACACCUUAGUAUGUUUGGACGAGCCCCAGGAACACCGAUCGCUAUGCCUCUCGAGGGUACAAUGCUAAUUCGAGAAGGUGGGCUUCUCGAAGCAACCCGGAGACAAUGGAAGUCUAUCCUACUCAAGACAAGACGAAGAACCGCCAUGGUUGGGAAACCAUGACAACGAGGAAGAAGCAGAAGGCGUCAACCGACUACAACAACAAUGUCAAGAAGCCUCGACAAUUCAAGACGAUGAAACCCUUGGACAGUGAGAGAAAUCAGAGGGCCUCUCCUUGGUCCAAAUCAAGGACGAGAUUACUAGUUGGGUCAUGGUGAAAACCUACCAAAGGUGGUUCACCCGCUCGCCGAGCCGCAGACCUUGGGAGUGGACGACUGGUCUAUACUCUUGGGUAGCCAGCUCAUCCAGAACCCUUCGCAAACCCUCCAAGAUGGCAGGACCUGUUCUGGUAUCUGAGUCUCCAAGCUUAGACUCAUGGGUGAGACCCAACCCAGACCCUUUCGCGAGAAGCCUUUGAAGACCACUGCAACGCCCUCAAGGAUGAAGACCAUUUGCGACCAUAGCUUGCCUGCCAUGAGGGAGUCAAGGACUUCCUCGUAAGCAGGAAGCUACACAAAGACUUUGGCACCGCGUUCUAACACGAGACAUCUAGAUGUCACUAACCGGCUUGAGCAGCCCCGAGAAAAGAACCCAGACACACUAUCUUGCCACGUAUUCUGACUUUGGAAUGCACUUGCAAGCCAGAACCUUGCAUGGACUUAGCUCACCAAGCCCUUGACCCUCGGUCAAGCCUAACUUAUUGCCAACACCCGCUCUGUCAGGCAAGGACGUGCGAAGCAUUUGAAGUUGUAUCAUCAAGCACCUAGAGACCCACAACCGCAACAUGGCGACAUGAAGACGACCUCCGACUCAAGAUUUUGUGUCUCUCCAACCCCUAGCUGGGAAAUCUCGGGGACGAGAUUUUCUGAAGGGGUAAGGUUUGUUACACUCUGUGUUUAGGUUUCCUCACUAAUUAACUUAUUUCAAAAAUUAGGACCAAUGAAUUUUUUUUGUGAAUGAUUGUGAUGCUUGAGGUGACUAUUGUUUGCUUGCUUGCUGAUAUGCUUGUCUUGAAUUUUCCAUAAUUCCUAUUACUCUCUAGACUCACUUCUUUAACUCAAAACUCCUGCCCAAUGACCAUGCUAGGUGUUUAGGACCAAAAACUAUUUCUACGAAAUAUUAUUUUUUACCAAAAUGCAUUUCUUUGAAUUAAGCCUUCAAAACCUCUCGGAUGAGGUUUGUACUACAAGUCCUCAAAUUAGGGAAUUUAUUUUACACCAAUUAUUUUAUUUGAAACCCAUUAUCAAAAUGACUUCCCAAAACCACCAUAUUAUUAUUUUAAAAGUUAUUUUACUAAUUUAUUUAAAUGCCUUCCUGUGAGGCCAGAAAUGGUCUCUUAUGAAGGAAAGUUAUUUUUAUUGCUUUGAAAAUAUAUAAGAUAAUUUAGGGAAACUCGGUGGACAUAUUAUUUCCAUAUAUAUGAGUUUCAACAUAUGGUAAUGUUCAAAAUAUUGGGCCAAUCCCUUCAAAACUCUUCCUGCCUAUUUCAAUCUUUUGGAAUAUUUCUAUAAGAAAUAUUCUCAAUAAAUUCUAGUAAAAUUUCAGCAUGUCACCUAUGAUAUGUUUGAUGAUCUUGCCAAGUUUCAUCUCAAUCCAAGUUGAUUUGAAUCCCCUAAUUAUUCUAAAACCCUAUGUGUCCGGAUCCAAAUUUGAGCAACUCUACAUUGUCCAUUAUCUCCAAAUGUGCUCAAAUUUGGUAGACAUGUGCUGAUACUCCAAUAAUGCAUCCACACAAAGUGGUGCAUCAAGGAGAAUAGAAGAACUUGUCCCAAGCCCCUCAAAACCAUCUGUGUUAAUUUCUGACUUUGGGAAUCUUUAUAUUAUAAAGUUUCUCCACUUGACCCCAAAAUUUUUGUGCAUGCCUUAAUGCUCAAAUAAUGCCCCCACACCAAAUAUUGGAUUUGUGGGAAUUGAUUUGGAUGGAUUUGUAAGCAGAAAGCCAUUUCUACCCAUUCAUGGGUUUCCAAGUCUACAUUGGAAACCUUGUCCACCAAAUCCCAAAUUUGGUGUCCAAGCUUAUUUUUAUCUAUUAUUUGAUCCUGUUAAGUUUCAUAUCCAUUGAAGUCCAUCUAGUUGCUCUGCCACUCAUCAAACACCUUGUGUGCAUUCACUUUAUUGACUACUUUGGCCCCUUCCACUUUAACCCUUGAGCUCAACUUUCUACCACAGCCUCAUAUAGUUACAUUUUACCUCCAGUAACAUUUCCAUGGCUACUGGUCAAUUAUUGGAGAGAGGCUCCACGUAACUAUUCUGCAUUUUUACCCUUGGAAUCACUAUUUUACCCCUCUUGCUCCACUUAUGUUUAAGCGAAAGCCCACACCUCUUGUCAGAGGUUUCCUAGCAUCCCAAGGCAUUGUUUCAAGCCAAGAGAUGGCAUGCUCAUAUAGAUAAAAUGAGCAGCACAUCCUCAAGUUGAUUUCUGACUGAAAAGUAGCUUUGUACAGUAAGCAUUUGCUGCCCUCCAUUUCUUGAACUGAAACUUUACAGAAGUGUAGUCCUUCCAAGCCUAAGGCUGCUACACAUGUCUUUUUCCCAUUAUCUCUCCUGUGAGUGCCCUCAUUAGUAACACUAAGUUUGCUACUGCAAAGUUAACAACAGUCAAAACCCCACCUAGACAGCUCCAACUUGGUCCAAACUUCACCAGUGCAUUGUGGCAAGCAUGCCUUGCAUGUUUGACACCUUGGCCUGGCCAAGGGGUGGCCCAGGAUACCAAGUGGGGUGGUGACCACCUCCCUGGCAUGCUGAAACAGUGGUCUGCACCUUGGGCCCUGGCUACAGCUUGGGUCCAACGAGGGGAGCAUGUCCCAGAGCGCCGCAGAGCAUCCUUGACCCCCUCCACGACGCCAGGUAGACUCCAAGCCGCUCAGGCCGCGUGUGCCGGCCGUGCCAGUGAGCACCAGAGGCGGAUCCGAGCUCCCCCUUGUAGCCCUUCAGCUAUACCUCUCCCCUGAGCCCUCACUCUCUCUCCCUCGUUUUCCCUCUUUCCGUGGAACCUCCAGACGCUCCCAUUUCUCCUCCCAUGCCCCUUUCCUUCCCCAUGGCCGAAACCUCCCCAUCGGGCUCCUCUCCAGUUCGGCCACUUUGGCAUCUCCCUUCCCCGAGGAUCCCACCGGGGCGCCCCUGCCUCACUCCAUCCAUUCCCCAUGAUUCCUCCCCUCCUCUGCAUGCGUAGGGCGCCGUGCACCUCCUCCGUCAGGUGCCGCCGCCUCGGCCGACGUCGUGCUAGAUCUCGGUAUUCCCAAGGCCUCGGGGCGGCUGCACGCCUGUGGCGCCGCAGAGCACGGUGGUGGUCAGACCACCACUAGAGGUGGCCGGUGCUGCCGGGGGCAAGCACUUGCGCCGGCUGGCCCUGUCUCCCCUGCUCCCUCUUUGAUCGAGCGGGAGGAGGAAGAUGAGCCUGGUGCACGGGGCCCCACGGGACGGUGACACGCGAGCUGGGUCGGCUGGUAACUGGAGACGGCCUGGCCCGAAGUUGUUUCCGCGCUAGGGAAGCGUAUCCAGCAGAAUACGCCUUCGGCUGGCCAAUCUACUAGCCACACCGAGCCUCUAGGCAGGCCCAUCUCUAUCCAGCACCGAGUGCGCAGGAUAGCCCAACUCCGGAGGCCCUCCUUUUUUUUUAUAUUUAUAAGAAAACUUCGUAAAUUAGUAGCAAAUUCAUUUUAACUCCAAUUUGCUUGAUUCAAAUUCCUACAGGUUCCUAAAAUCAAGGGCUAUCCAAAUAUGUGCUUUGCACAUUUUUUACAAGCAACCUUUAUGUGGUGUUUUUAUUUAAAUCCCAAUCUGGAUAAUUUAAACCCCAUCUUAUGAAAAUCCUAUAGGGUUCAAAUCAACUCCAAUUGGAGUGAUUCCAAUUUCCAAAGAUUUUUUAUAUCAUGCCCCAUUUUUGAAGCCUUGGUCAACAUUUUUAUUUGACUUAUUUCUGUUGUAUUAAAUAAAUAGCUUCCUAUUGCUAUUUAUUCCAUAUUAGAAAAUUCCUAGAAUAUUCAUCCCAACUUCAAAUCCAGUGAAACAACUUCCUAAAUAUUUCUACAAUUAUUCUUUAUUAAAUGAGUGCAUCCACUCAUUUUUAUCAUAAUAUUUUCUGUGGGCUUCAUUAAGGAUCCCCUAUUUCUCUUCUCAUCCAUUCAGAAAUCCCUGAUGAUCCAAACCUCCUAUGGCAAGCUUCAUGUAUUUUUCUUAUUACCAGAGAGGUCCAAGAGAAAUAUAACUUCUAUUUAUGUAGCACUUUUAUUUUUGCCUGCUGUGUGGCUUACCGUGGUUGUUGUCGACGAUAGUUGACGAGUAGACAGAGUACUCGGAGUUGGAGCAGAAGACCUAAAAGACCUCGAGGACUUAUGUGAGCAAAGGCAAGCAGCCCUUUGACCAUGACUGAGCAUAUGUUCUAUUGCAUAUUAAAAUAGCAAGUAUUUCCGUUGCAUAUGAUCAUAAGUAUCGGUAAAUCAUUUGAUGUGAUGUUACCGAUGGCUCCUCCGGAGCACAUGCAUUGAGCUUGAUCCUACCCCUUUGAGGGUCAUGCUAGUAUCAUGUUGACAAGUAAUACUAGAAUAGUAUUAGCAUGAGCAUGAUGAUGACAUAACUCAAAGGUUUAUGAAAACCCCAUCGGGUGCCACUAAUGCCCGAGGGUGACGAUGAGUCAGGUGGCCACUUUUGGUGAAGUGGUGCAUCGGGUAUUUAUGUGAGUAUGGUAUCGGAAAUGGGAAUAGAUUUAUGAUGUGUCGACCGUCCCAACCUUACCUGUCACUACUGGAAUUCAGAAAUUUGUCGUCUGCUUGGCCUUUGCCGUCAGCUGACACAUGGCAAAGGUACUCUUUGCCGUCAGCUGUCACAGUGCUGACGGCAAAGAGGUGGCAGAUGGAAAAAGAUUAUUUUGCCGUCGGCCACUUCUUUGCCGUCCGCUGGCCGACGGCACAGAAGCCCUACGCGGACGGCAAAGGGAGGGCGGACGGCAAAGCACCCCCCCAACGGCCGAAACGCCACCCCACACACCCCUCCCCUUUGCCGUCUUCUUGGGGCCCUUUGCCGUCCGCCUGGGAGCGCGGCGGACGGCAAAGGUGACGGCGGCCCACCAACCCAACCCCCUACCCGGUGCCUCCCCCCCGGGACCUUUGCCGUCAGCCUAGGAGCGCGGCGGACGGCAAAGGCCCGGCAGCCUUGCCACGUCCACGCGCACCCCCGCCCCCCUCCAACCCUUCCCACGUCGCCCGUUGCUCGAAUCCCUGCCCCGCGCCGCCGCCGCCUGCCCCGCGCCGCCCCUCCUACACCGCCCCUCCUGCGCCGCCCCUCCUCCCUGCGGCACCCCUCCUCCCUGCGCCUCCUCCCUGCGCCGCCCCUCCUCCCUGCACCGCCCUUCCUCCCUUAGGUAAAUUUAUUUUUGUUUAUUUUUGUUUUUUUCUCUUUUGUCAUUUUUAGGUUCAUGGUAAUUAGUUUGUGGUAAUUAGUUUGUUAGGUUAUACUAUAUAUGCUAAUUAUUUAUGGUAAAAUUAAUGACACGAGGAUGAUAACAUUAGUUGUCAAGCAUGAUGUGUUUUUUUGGUUUUGUUUCUAUUUAAUGGUAUUUGUAGUUUGAAAACGCCGAUGUGUUCUGUGUCACACAUGUGAUACUUAUUAUGUACAAAAAAUAUUUUUUUCUCAUAGUACCUCUUCAUCGGAAUGGCUAAAAACAAUAUAUUUUUUUGACUCGGGAGUACUGAUGAUGUGUUUCAAGAAAAAAGUGGUGUCAUUAGAAAAGAAAAAGGUUUAGGGUUGAGCACAUUAUUCUAUCUUCGAAGAUCGACCCGGUACCCUCCCCAAAAAAAAGAUCGACCCGGUCCAGCUGAUUCAUGAGCACAGCGACGUGGGAAGCACUAUGUUGUGGUGUGUGUGCUUCCACCGGACAAAACAAUGAAAUUUUGAAACAUGGACGCGGCGCCGGACCAGGCGUUGACGGCGGAGGCGGCGGCCGUGCUCUCCCCGAGCGGGCCGGUCAGGUAGCUGAUGAAGUUGGAGGAGAUGCCGUAGUACGCGAACCCCCGACCCCCCGACCCCCGACGCCACUGACCCCUGACCCCCGACGCCACUCACCCUCGACCCCCNNNNNNNNNNNNNNNNNNNNNNNNNNNNNNNNNNNNNNNNNNNNNNNNNNNNNNNNNNNNNNNNNNNNNNNNNNNNNNNNNNNNNNNNNNNNNNNNNNNNNNNNNNNNNNNNNNNNNNNNNNNNNNNNNNNNNNNNNNNNNNNNNNNNNNNNNNNNNNNNNNNNNNNNNNNNNNNNNNNNNNNNNNNNNNNNNNNNNNNNNNNNNNNNNNNNNNNNNNNNNNNNNNNNNNNNNNNNNNNNNNNNNNNNNNNNNNNNNNNNNNNNNNNNNNNNNNNNNNNNNNNNNNNNNNNNNNNNNNNNNNNNNNNNNNNNNNNNNNNNNNNNNNNNNNNNNNNNNNNNNNNNNNNNNNNNNNNNNNNNNNNNNNNNNNNNNNNNNNNNNNNNNNNNNNNNNNNNNNNNNNNNNNNNNNNNNNNNNNNNNNNNNNNNNNNNNNNNNNNNNNNNNNNNNNNNCUCACCCUCGACCCCCGACCCCCUACCCAGACCGUGACGCCACUGACCCCCAACUCCCGAGCCCGGACACCUCUUUGGCUUCUUGUUGACCGAAAAGACCCCAACCCCCGACGCUAGUGACCCUCAACCCCCGACAACACUCACCCUCGACCCCCGAGCCCCGACACCUCUUCGACCUCUUGUUGACCGAAAAGACCCCAAUCCCCGACGCUAGUGACCUUCGACCCCCGAUGACACCGACCCACAUAGUUAUGAGUUAGGUCAUAUAGUUAUGUUAAUUAUAAAAACAUCAUAUUUGUGUUGAUUGGGUGAAUUUCAAUGUGCAGUUGUUCGACGACCUCCACGUGCGUUGGACGAGCUCCGCCCUUGCGUUGUUGGUGAGCACAAAUGACUUCUCCUCCUACCCCCUUAAUUUGCUCUGUCCCGGUCUUCGUGCCGAUGAAACUUGCUAGCUAUAGGUUUCUUCAAUCAAGAGGAAAAAGGAGAAGAAAGAGGAAAAAUGAGAAGAAGGGGACAAAAGGAUAAGAAGAAGAAGGAGAAGAAGGAGAAUAAGAAGGAGAAGAAGGAGAAGAAGGAGAAGAAGAAGGAGAAGGAGCUCCCGCUCCUUCUCCUUCUUCUUCUCCUUCUUCUCCUUCUUCUUCUCCUUCUUCUCCUUCUUCUUCUUCUCCUCUUCCUUCUCCUUCUCCUCCUCCUCCUCCUCCUCCUUUUUCUUCUUCUUCUCCUCUUCCUUCUCCUUCUCCUCCUCCUCCUCCUUCUUUUACUUCUUCUUCUCUUUCUCUUCUCCUAUAGUUAGCUAGGGUUCCACCUAAAUGACAUAAUUAGCUUAGUUAGCUCCUAAAUGGUCUAUACUUAGCUAAUUUCUCUCCGAAAUAACCUAUAUAUACACUACUUCAUCUAGUAUUAUUUUUCUAACUUUCUUAUUUGUCAUUUUGCAGAUUACCUUCACUUCACGGGAAGCUUGGUUGAUGGAAUGCUUGAAGAUGAUUUCUUGUACCAUGGGUUGUAUUGAAACUAUUGUAGUAUAUGAAUAUAUGAAACUUUGUAUGCACGUGGAUGAAACUGGUGUAAUAUAUGGUUUGGUACGGAUGUAACUUGCAUAAUAUGUAUGCACUAUGGAUGAGAGUUAUUUUAAUAUGGCUAUGAGUACGGAAAGAAAUUUAUUUAUGUCAAAUAUAUAUAUAUAUCCUGAUUAUUGUUAAAAAUGCUGGAUAUAACAAAAAAUAAAUAAAUAAGGGGUUGGUUCCCCUCUUUGCCGUCUGCCAACACAUGGCAAAGGGGGGAAGGCACAUGGCAAAGGGGGAAUCUGCCCCCUCUCUCUCCCCUCUUUGCCGUCUGCCAACACAUGGCAAAGGGGGGAAGGCACAUGGCAAAGGGGGAAUCUGCCCCCUCUCUUUCCCCCUUUGCCGUCAGCCCCCACAUGGCAAAGGGGGGAAGGCACAUGGCAAAGGGGGAAUAUGCCCCCUCUCUCUCCCCCUUUGCCGUCAGCCCCCACAUGGCAAAGGGGGGAAGGCACAUGGCAAAGGGGGAAGCUGCCCCCUCUCUCUCCCCUCUUUGCCGUCUGCCCCCACAUGGCAAAGGGGGGGAGGCACAUGGCAAAGGGGGAAUCUGCCCCCUCUGUCUCCCCUCUUUGCCGUCUGCCCCCUCAUGGCAAAGGGGGGAAGGCAGAUGGCAAAGGGGGAAUCUGCCCCUCUCUCUCCCCUCUUUGCCGUCAGCCCCCACAUGGCAAAGGGGGGAAGGAAGACGGCAAAGAGAGGAGGCCUGCCAUUAACACUUAACGGGGAUGUUGCAAUAUAUGCCGUCCCAUUUAUUUUGCCGUCNNNNNNNNNNNNNNNNNNNNNNNNNNNNNNNNNNNNNNNNNNNNNNNNNNNNNNNNNNNNNNNNNNNNNNNNNNNNNNNNNNNNNNNNNNNNNNNNNNNNNNNNNNNNNNNNNNNNNNNNNNNNNNNNNNNNNNNNNNNNNNNNNNNNNNNNNNNNNNNNNNNNNNNNNNNNNNNNNNNNNNNNNNNNNNNNNNNNNNNNNNNNNNNNNNNNNNNNNNNNNNNNNNNNNNNNNNNNNNNNNNNNNNNNNNNNNNNNNNNNNNNNNNNNNNNNNNNNNNNNNNNNNNNNNNNNNNNNNNNNNNNNNNNNNNNNNNNNNNNNNNNNNNNNNNUUUGCCGUCCGUGGUUGCCCCCUUUGCCGUCCGCCUUGGCAGACGGCAAAUUUCUGAAUUUCAGUAGUGUGUACGACCACGUUACCCCUUUAUGGGACGGGGCUGUGUUGAUUACUUUGGUCGGUACUAGCAAAGAGCCACAUUACUAGUGGCAGGAGUGAUAUGUGAUCACUCUCGUGAUGGGGUCGUGCCAGGUAGGACGACUAUACCCUUUUUAUGAGUUCCAGGCACACCGUUGGUCCUCACAUGGUUGAUACUGUCCAGAGUCGGUGCUCGUAAGACGUACAACAUGUGGGCUGGGUACCAAUCGAGUAGGCCUCUUUGUCUAGUAUCGUCAGGGGAAAGGCAUUUAUCGGGUACUUACCUUGGGUAUGUUAUAUACCGCGAGUCAUGGUUGACACAGAAGUUUCUCGGAUCUCAUGGGUCUAGCGUACUACCUCUGCAGAGUGUAAAACUAUUCGAAUAGCCGUGUCCACAGUCAAGGAAUGUUGGGUAAUCCUGCUUAAACUAUGUCCAGACGUUUCCUCAUAAACCAAGUGUGUGUGAGUUGUGAUGAAAAAGGAGUUAUUAUGAAGUAAUGAUAUGACCAAGUUCGGUGACUUGGCAUAUAGGGUGAACCCGGAUGGUUCAGCCCUCGACAGAUAUGUUGGUAUCUGUAACCUGUUCUUCAAGAGUAAUUCUUUAACUUGAUGCAUAUUCAUGAUCAUUCCACCAAGAUGAAUUCCACCCAAGAUGCAUGUUAUUGUUAGCCUUCACUUUCAUUGUUCAUAUCAUGGGUGGUUAGCGAGUACAAUCAAAAGUACUCAUUGGCUUGCCACUAGUUAUUUCAUUGACCAGGUAUGAAAGAAUAAGAUUUGGUGAAGAGUAAUUCGGUGACGUUCUAGCGAGCUAGGAUGCUUCCCAGUCAGAAUGCGUGUAGGUUAAGGCUGAUGGCAAGGGUUCACGCUUUCGACCAAUAAUUUCGAUAUUGGUCCAGUGUGGAGUGUUGGCCCUCAAGGCCCUAUAUAUGUAAGACUUGACCACAAUGGUCAAUUGUUGUAUCAAACAAUAUGUAUGGAUGUAAGACUCUUAAUAUUCAGUAUCUGUGUGUUCGGUGAGCAUUGAUCUCUGGGAUCACUGAGCACGUUCAUUCGACGAUCUCGACUCGUAAGUCGGGGUCCGCACAAUCGAAGUCCAAACGUUAUGUGAAAGCACAUAUGCUCCCUUGGUGGUUUUAAUAAUUCAUGACAACAUACAUUGUCUCUUGUACUAACACUUUAGCUAGUGUAUUUUAGUAUAGUCCACUGAGAGCAUUGGAUAAAGGAGUAUGAGGAGAAACCCCUUGAUGCAAGGAAUGGAAUAGGAUUGGCUCAAGCUUCAAGGAAAAGGACUCUACAUUUUAUAUUUGUGAGAAAUCACUUCUGAGUCCAUAGUAAUCUCAAUACUAUUAAAAGGUGGUGAUGUAUUAUGAUGAAUCGGUUUCUCAAGUGCUUAGAGAUAGCCACGAAGAAUACUUAGCAUUUCCCCCACAAAUAUCUUUGUCCCAAGCCAAAGAAGAAAAAUCUGUGCCACCAAGUUUUCCCACUUGGCCUUGCCUACUUUCCAAUGUCAGAUCCUUUGCCAAACCCUAAUCUCUUGGUACCACCAAGUUUCACAUCGGUGCCACCGAAAGCAUGUGACCAACUUUCUGUUGAGCAGAUUUGAAGAAUCGAAAUUUCUAAGUUUGGAAUCGAUCUCACUGAGAUUUGGAAACUUCCCUAGGUCAUCGCAUCUGUACCAUCAAGAUUGAUAUAUCAGUCUCACUAAGAAUUGAAAAUUUGUCGCAUUUAGUGCAACUCGGUACCAUCGAUAUUCAUUUUGGUGUCACCGAGUUGGGAAUUAAUGUUGUAACGGUUGGAUUUUGGGGGAUGCCCAUAUAUACCCCUCCAAUUCCUCUCAUUCAUAGAGGAUGCACUCAAAACACACACACAAUUGCCAGAUCCAUUUUUCCAAAAGAGAGCCACCUACUCAGGUGUUGGGAUCAAGAGAUUCCAAUCCAACCAUUUGAAACUUGAUCCCUAGCCUCCCCAAGUUGCUUUCCACAAAAUCAAUCUCUCCUACCCAUGCCAAAUCUAUGAAAGAGUGAUUGAGAGUUGAGGAGACUAUAAUUUGAAGCACAAGAGCAUGGAGUUCAUCGUUCUACCGCAUCUAUUACCUUUUGGAGGUUGCUGCCUCCUAGAUUGGUUAGGUGUUGCUUGGGAGCCUCCUACUUCGUGUUCUGGAGUUGAACCAAGAAGUUUGACCAUGCAAGGAGACCUCCUACUUCGUGACGAUCUACUAUGAGCGAGGCUUGUCCUGUGUGGACGUAAGCCAUGGUGGAAUAGACAAGACCGCUUCUUCGUGGACCCCUUGUGGGUGGAGCCCUCCAUGCAUUAUCGCAGUCAUUACCCUCCGUGGGUUGAAGUCUCCACUAACGUGGAUGUACGAUGGCGCCACCUAUCAGAACCAUGCCAUAAAUCCCAGUGUUCAUCUUUGCGUUUGAUCUUCCUGAACUCCACUCCUUACUUACAUGUGCAAUGUCUUUACUUUUCGUUGCCAUAUAUGUUGACUAGCAUAUGUAGGGUGCACUAGACUUGUUAGAUUUGCUAAAAUCUGCCAACCAUUAAAAUUGGGAAAAGUCUAGUAUUUUAAUUCAUGCAAGUAAAAAAUUCACCCCCUUCUCUAGACACCCCUUAUAUCGAUCCAACAAUUGGUAUGAGAGCUUUGGUCUCCCUACCCUUGGUUUAAACACCAUUGGAGGAAGAUGGAUGUGCCUAGUUUGGGGAAUAUUAGUUGUAGAGUGUCUUUUCUUUGAGGAGCAUUAUAGACAAUGGAAAGAUGAAAUGCUUGAUAUAUUUGAUAAAUUCCAUUUGUGCAAGUAUGUUGAAUCUCCCUAUGUGCCUCCCAUUGAUCCCUUACAUCCUUCUCAUGAUGAUGAACUUGAUAUGCUUCGCAAUCUUGAAGUUUUUAAUCUCAUCAUUAGAGGACUGCCAAGAAAUGUGCUUAAUCAAUUACAGAUUUUUGAGUGUGCUCAUACUUUGGGGAAAAACUUAGAGAAAAUAUAUCCAAACUAUUCCCUAAAAAUCUUGAUAUCAUUUUCCAUAAAUGCAUUGCCUUUCACAAAAUGAAGCCAAAUGAUCCUAAUUUUGAUAAAUAUCUAUUUGAGGUUCCUGAUCUCAUGCGUGCUAAAGGAGAUGUCAUUACCAUUAACAAUAUCACUAUUGAAGCCAUUCACAUGCAUAAACGUGAACAUUGUCAUAGUCAAAAUUUUCAUGAAAUUCUUAAUUCUUAUGACGAGGAUACUCCGUCUGAUGAUAAAAAUGGGGAGCUUGACUACUACAAUGAAGAUGAGGAGUUUAACAUCGAGUAUGAGAAGACCAUGAGGAACUUAGUCUUAUGGAAAACCUUAGAGACUACAUGGUCGGAGGAAAAUAGUGGAUACUUGACAAUGAAUGCACCGAUCACAUGACAGUAGAUAAAGACAUGUUCCAUGAGAUCACACCCAACCAUGGACCUCGAAGGUAUGUGACCUUUGGCAAAAACUCCAAGGAUAAGGUACUUGGUCUUCGUAAGGUGGUCAUAUCUCAUGAUAGUUCCAUUCAAAAUGUCAUGCUUGUUGAAUCUCUUGGUUACAGUCUUCUUUCCGUAUCUAGACUAGCAGACUUUGGUUUCAGUGUGUUAUUUACAGAAGUUGACUGCCAAGUGUUUUGCCAUGAUAAUCAUAACUCGUUCUUCACUGGUUUUUGUAGAGGUGAUUUGUACAUUGUCGAUUUCACUAUAAAAUCCAAACACCGUACAUGUCUUAUUGCAAAAUCUUCCAAAGGUUGGUUAUGACAUAGAAGGCUAGGACAUGUUGGUAUGCGAAACCUUGAUAGGCUUAUCAACGGUGAUCAUAUUCUUGGUGUUAAAGACGUUAUCUUUGAAAAAGAUAGACUUUGUAGUGCUUGUCAAGCAGGAAAGCAAGUCGGUGGAAGUCAUCCCGUGAAGAACAUCAUGACUACAAGAAGGAGACUUGAUAUACUACACAUCAAUCUUUUUGGUCCAAAUGCUUACAAGAGCCUUGGUGGUCUUAUGAUUUAGUCAUUGUUGAUGAUUUUCCUAGAUUUACGUGGGUAUUAUUUCUUGAUGAUAACUCACAAGUACAAAAGAUCUUCAAGAACUUCGCUCGAAAAGCCCAAAAUCAGUUUGAAGUGAAGAUCAAGAAAGUUCAGAGCGACAACAGAACGUAUUUCAAGAAAACAAAUCUGGAUACCUUUCUUGACGAAGAAGGUAUCUCACAUGAGUUCUUGGUGACAUACACUCCUCAACAAAAUGGACUUGUUGAGAGGAAGAACCGAACUCUCAUAGAGACGGUCAGAACGAUGCUUGAUGAAUACAAGACGCCAAGACAUUUCUGGGUAGAAGCCGUGGAAACAGCAUGUCACGCCAUAAAAUGACUCUACUUCCACAAGCUUCUAGGUAAAACGGCAUAUGAGCUACUCACCGGUAACAAACCCCAAGUUGGAUAUUUUCAAGUACUCGGCUCUAAGUGCUACAUUCUUGAUAAGCAUCAUCGUUCUAAAUUUUCUCCUAAAUCGUAUGAAGGUUUCUUACUUUGUUAUGGGUCAAACUCUCACACUUACCAUGCAUACAAUAGCUUCACUCAAGAAGUUGAUGAUACGGUAGAUGUGAAGUUUGAUGAAUCUAAUGAUUCGCAAGUCGAACAAUUGCCAAAUGAUGUAGGAGACAUGGAACCUUCGGAAGCCAUCCAAGAUCUACCUAUCAACAAGAUUCGUCCCAUGGAGGUGAAAGAAAGUACUUCAUCAACUCAAGUGGAAGUUCCUACUUCAAGUCAAGAUGAACCACAAAAUGACAUGGAGGCAUACACAAGCGGUACAUGACAUGAUGAAGAAGAGGAAGAAGUAGAUCGUGAGGAU
RNAcentral lists this long non-coding RNA (76537 nucleotides) under Hordeum vulgare. Its description in RNAcentral is "long non-coding RNA (HVUL_LNC000812)". Lineage: Eukaryota; Viridiplantae; Streptophyta; Magnoliopsida; Poales; Poaceae. The record is from RNAcentral.